Molecule: long non-coding RNA, 71504 nt
Filed under: Coffea arabica (coffee)
Lineage: Eukaryota; Viridiplantae; Streptophyta; Magnoliopsida; Gentianales; Rubiaceae
Description: long non-coding RNA (CARA_LNC000813)
Source: RNAcentral
UUUUUUUUUUUUUUUGUCAAUUCCUACUCAAUGUUACAAUAUUACGCAGCCUCGCACCUUGGUUUGCUGGGAAAUUUUGCGCUUUGAUAGAAAGAACGAAUCUCGAGUCUUGAGCGUACAAUGGGCUAUGGGUCACACCAGCGUACUUAUUAGCAUUCCGAAAGGAGAAAAAUACGGUUUUGAUACUCAAAUUUUAACUUUUUUUGUCGUAAUAAUAAUAUUUGUAUAAUCUAUUUUAAUUUAAUAUAGGGGAAGGAGGCCUAGUCUACGGAAGAAAGGGAAACUUAACCGACAAAAAAUCGUCGGAGAAAACUACUUAAAAUUGACAGUCACACUUAAGUGGCAAAUAUACGGUGAAAAGCAAAAUUUCACCACCCCACCAAGACUUUACCAACAGCCUCUUGGCUGUUGGCUGAUACUCAAACUUUAAUUCAAAUGUUGGCUAGUUUUGAGCGUGUCAGAAUUAAGUCACAUGAGGAACCAAUAAUGUUCCUGCUCACAUUAUGUCAAAAAUAUCUUUACUUUUGAGGGGACUAGAGUUUGGUUUAUGGACUUCCCCAAGAGGAGGACCAAUUGAUGCUGUGACCACAUAUUCAUCAUGAAUGAAAGCCUCCAAAUUGUUUUUCAAAAAAAAAAAAUUUCUUGAGUUAUUUUGGUAUCCGAACUUUGAAUAAAAAUAAUUGUAAUACUUAAUGUUACAAUAUAUAAGUCCAUACAGUGCACUUGACAGAUUCUUUUUUUAAAAAAAAAAAAAAAAAUUUCCUACUUCGAAAAGUUACUUAUUGUCCAGCCACAAAAUUUUAAAAAUUUCAAAAAAAAAAAAAAACUGCCAACCUCAUGGCUAAUGAUUUAAGGACUAAUAGAAUGUGACUUAGUCAUUUAAAAAGAAAACAACUCAACUAAAGAAAAUAUCUAGUCGAGCUACUCAUAUACGCUCAAAACUCCUCUAUUCUCUUGUCCGUACCCUUCAAUAAAUCAAAGCAGCAAAAAACAAAAAAAAAAAAGCUUUGGGACCCUUACUUCAAUCGAAUAUUUAUUGGAUUCAACCAUGAAAUCAUACCAAAUGUACUUAAAUAUUGUAAUAUUAGAUAUUGAAUUUAUUUUCAUCCAGAGUUUUGGAACUAAAAUUGCUCAAGAAUUAAAGUUUGGAUAUUAAAAUUGCAUUUUACUCUUUGAAAAAUCUUACCCACUGGCUAAAGAGAACCAAAAACGAAACAGCAUAUUUGAUAGGAGGGGGACGGUGGAGAGUAUGGUAGCAAAAGUUCGCAAGAGCAAUGUUGAUCUACUACUAGUACUUGUUAUGGAUUUGAUUUCUCUUUUGUUCUUUUCCAUGCCAUACCCCAUUUGAUAUUUUGAGCCUGAAGAGAGGUGGGGUUGAAUGGUUCAUGUUCCCCACCCACCCCCCCGCCCCCCUCUCUCUUCCAAAAAUUGUGCGACAGUGAUUUGAGGUUGCAUGUGUUCCUGUCUGAGCCAUGGUUCAACUAAAAAAAAAAAAAAAAAAACUUGGCCGUAACGGAUCUUCUGUCCCACACUCUAUGCCACUUUUAUUAUAUUACUAUUUCUCCUACAUAAAUAUCAUGUUUUAAUUUUUUUUUUGUUUCAUUAAAAUCCAAUAACUAUUAAUUAAGUAAAAAAUAAUACAACAGCUUCAAAAAAGCAAUAUAUAUAGAAAAUUUAAAAAUACAGCAGAAAAUUCAUUAAAAAUCUCAUUUUUUAUGCAUUUUGAUUUUUUGAGUUUGUUAAAUUUUGUGUAUUACUCAAUUAAUAGUUAUUGGAUCUUAAGGAAGCAAAAAGAAUUAAAACAUGAUAUUUAUGAGGAAGAAAUAGCAAUAUAAUAAAAAGUAGAACAAAAAAUGGCACAGGACGUGGGAUAGAAGAUCCGUUGCGACACACGACUGUUGCUUGUGGGCUGUAUAAAGUGUAAAGACGCUGCCAAAACCAGCAAGACAACUAUAACCUGGGCCAGCCAUCUGUUCGCCUUUGCUCUGCACCUGCGUUGCGGCCUUUCCCAGCUCUUGCUUUCUUUGAUUAUGAAAAGAAAGGGGGACGAUUGUUGUGGGGACCGCUCCCCACCAAUUUGUCACAGUUAAAUGUGGCCCCACUUAAUUGUAUCCGUCUGAUUCCGUGGUGGUUCAGUUCUUUCCGAAUUAUCCCAAGACCUAUUCAGGCCCUCCCCCUCCCUUCCCCUUCCCAUAGUAUAGCAAGCUAUUGUAUUGGAAAAAAAAAAUCAGUAAUUUUUAAUUAAUUUCAUACAUUUGGUUCUUUCUUUUCUCUUUUUUGUUUUGGUGGUAAUGGGAAGUGUCAAGGAAUUUACUAGCUACUACUUUUUGGCUCUUGCUAUUAUUUAUUGUUGUUUACAUGACUUCUUCUUUUUAAGAAUUGAGUUGAUGUAUUAUGUUAACAAAUUGUAAACUGUGUUUUUUGUUCGGCUCGUGUUAAAAAAAAAAGAGAGAAAAAUUUUACACUCACAAUGUAUAGAAAUUAAUUCCAUCUUCUAAAUGAUUUUUUUAAAAAAAAAAUUUAAAGUGAUUUUGAUGAGUUAAUUUAAUCAAAAAUUGAUUUGGAAAACACACGUAGAAAAAGCAAUAUCAUAAAUUCCGGAUAGAGAUCAGAUAUCAGAAUUACAGGGCGGCAGGCGAUCCACUUGCAGCCCUUGCUCGUACGAGAAGAACGGAGAGUUUUUCCCACUUCCUCACCAUUGUUUUUCCAUCAGCAGGAAUCCGAGGAGUCAAAUUUCUGUCAAAAUCCCACUUUCUCCAGCCUCCCCAAAAUUUAUCUCUGCCUGAUACAAAAAGGCCCUAGAAUUUUCUAAUUUUAUCUCUUGCCCUGUCCGGUUUAAAAUGGAAACCGAAUCACCGCCAUACGUUGGAUCUGGCUUUAUCUCCACUUUGACAUCAAUCAAAGAGAUGAAGUAGCAACUUGUCGCAUGUCAUUCAAGAACAUGCCUCUGCCAUUAUCGACGCAUCACACACUUACGGAGAAACCAUGAUCUAAACAGGCUUACAAGCGUGCAGAUUCUCAGGCAAAGAACAACAUAUAAUGUGCUUUCUGCAAAUGCAUCCACUACAUUUAGUUCCGUCAAGCGUAUGAACCAUGCAUGCGUAAUCUUCCACAAGUUCACUUAAUUAAAUGCUGUACGUUCACAAGCUUAGAUUGGAUUUGCCAAUAUUUUCUAAGGCACAUUGAAGAUUAAAAGAAAAAUUACAUAUAAUUAUUCGUUUCUAUACAUGUUGUGAGCACUUAAUUACUACUACAACAGUAUGAGAAUAAACUUUUCACUGGGUGCCAUUUAGCGACGAGAACAAAAGGAAUGGACAUGUUAAAUCAAAGUACUCUCUCAAAGAGAACUUUGGCCAUAUGGAAAUUGACGGUUCCUGGAUUGCAAUGGGCGGUGUAGUAGAAGCUCCUUGCCACUGUGAGAAAUGUUUGCUUGACAUCAGCAUCUAGAUCGCUCGGGCUACUGGUGAGAACAAGCUUCGCUAGUUCUUGCAUGUCUGCUUCUAUGGAGCUGACGCUUGUGAUGCCACCCGCGUUUGCACUUCCAUUAUUAUCCCUACCAUGUACCUGAUCAAAGGUGGGGCGCAAGUUAUAUAUUUCUUUAAAUGGUUUCACACGAAAGAAGCAGUAAUGAUAAAGCAAUAACUCAGUCCAUUCUAACAUAAUUGAUUGAUGAGUUGGAUGUCCGGACGAUGCCACACACAAAAGUCAGUCCGAGUUGCCGUAUUUUUACCCAAAAUGUCGAAUAAAGUAGCUACUAUGGAAAGAAAGUUGUGCCACCGCUGGCUACUAUGUCUCUAACCUUUUUGUUUUCGAAAUGACGAAUUUGGUGACAAACUCUAGAAGUGAGACGCAUGAGCUGUUGAUACUUGGGAUGGGACAACAAUAACUCCUCCGAUGGGUAGCCGCCGGCGCACAGAUUUAGUGUGCGCACUGUAAGUUCUGCUUCCUCUUGACCCAUCUCACCUCCCUCUUGCAAAGCUAUCAACCACUUCUCCCACUACGUAUUCCCAAUCGAAAUUGGAAAAAAAAAAAAGAAGAACAGUUAAAAAGUCAAAUCCCACGUAUCGUUUACUGGAUAUAGUUGGCAGAAAAUCUUGUGACAAAACAACAGCAACUCACAGCGCGACGCAGAUAUUGAUGGAUGUCUCUGCCGUGUACUAACACUGCGUCCAAAGACAGCUGAUUCAGCGUUCCAAGUACAGUCCUGAGCAAUCCUUGGGUCGGCCCGUAUCUGCACCCACCACUCACUUCCUCAAAAUAAUAUUCAACGGUGGUAAUCAUUUUGUGCCAAAAAAGGGGAAAAAUGUAUUAACAUCUCGAGUCUAUAUUCUUUUUCUGAAACAUGUACAAAAAAUUUCAUCGCCGGUCUCUGCUCCUCAUUUAUAGAUAGUUUCGCAUAUUUUUAAAAUCCCAAGUAUACAAGCAAAGGAGUCAAAAAGAAAAAAAAAAGAAUAUGUUUUGUAAAUAUCAUUUGUUCUGUUUGAAUUAGCUAUUUUUGGAGGUGUUUUUGAAAAAGAAAGAAAGAAGGGACGGAUACCUUCCACCAGAGGUGUGGUCAAGGUUAGAGGAGGAGCGUUGGAAGUCGCGGAGAAAGGCCUCAAUGUGAUCCCCUGCCAUUUGCUCACUGCUGAAAUAUGAUGUGAGGGUGGGAUGAGGGCAGUUGUUUUGGCCCAGGCAAGCCGUUCCUUUGACCUUUCCGGCUCGAACACACUGGCAGCUGCCAGAUAAUAGGCCAGGAGAAGGCUUCUCUCACUUAGUCCAUGCUCUCCAAGGCCGCAUUCCGCAUACCAUCUGUUUAGAAAUUCAAGCAGCUUUCAAUACAUUGGAAUUUAAUUGCAUGAUGACGAACUGGUUUAUCCACUAUUAAAAACCUGUUUAUGCUUCCUUCUUUUUUUUUUCUUUUUUAAAACUAAUUCUUGAUAAAGAUAGGAUGGGGACACCAGCUUUAGGCGUUGCGAUGUAAAUCUGAACUUACUUUUGUAUCCUUCUCCACUCCAGCUGAUGCAGUGCCUGACAGUUGUUGUAAUCUGAUUUCCCAAGCUCAAGGUAGACGUUGUUGUUAACUUUUCCCAUCCUGAAAAGUGAACAGAAGGGUCAAGUUAAUGGACAUCCAGAAGGGUUAACUUAAAAUGAACGGAAGGGAACUAUAUAGGCGUGAAUUUAUUUAACCCAAUGCUAGACUAGACACCACGCAAAAUUUCAAGAUGAGAGCAGUAAUGAUGCCGUCUUCAAUUUACGCCUUUACCAGCGAAAGACCUGACCAUCCUCUUUCAAAUCACUUUGACAAUUCAAAAAAGCGAUUCUGAUUCACAACUCCAUUAACCAUUUUAAAUCCCACCCACGCACCAUCUCAAUGUUACAGCAAAACUAUCAUUGCUGAUGUAUACUACUAAUGCUGAUGUAUUAAGCUGAAGAAAGGUAAAAUGUCAGGAUGGCAAAAUGAAGAGGAGAAGUAUUAGUUGAAGUUACAUUUUAGUAGAGAUAUAUACCUGUACAAUGUCUUGCCAAUCCAGACAUCGUCUUCGCCGCCAUAUUGUUCUAGUACCAUCUGGUUUCUACACGAGGUAAACUGGCAUACCAUGGAACGUCUAGAGCGUAUCCGACCUGCACUCAAGUCCAAAUUAUUUUUAAAGCAGACUAGUAUUAUUACUAGUAAUAACAUUCUUUUUAUUAAUGAAUUGAUUAAUUUCAAACGUACCUCGCCAGGCAAAUCUUUCAUGAUGAUCCAUUUAUCUAGGAGCUCAUUGUUAGCUCGCUUAUCUUGCAAGAAUUCCGACGAGAACUUCCUGGCAUCGGCAAGUACCUCCUCCCCAGGAAACAUCACCUGACAAGCUCUGUACAGGUUAUACAUCCCGGUCACAGCCUGGUUCGACUGUCCGGCAAAGGCAAAGAAUCCACCAUCCUUCUCAAAGUUACGGAAGACAUCUGUCAAUUACAACGUCGCCUUAUCCUUAUCAGAGCGUCGCAUACUACCAUGUACUGCAACGAAAUUAUAAACGGCAAGUAAUUAACCUGCAGAAACCGUGUAGCCGUGCUGCCUUAGGAGUCUGAAACCCAUUGCUGUGUCAUCAAUGUCAUAAACGUGGGUAUUUCUAGCCCAACAGAUACCUUUCUCCGUCCAAUAUCUGACAAUUAUGUAGGAUCGAUGAUCAGUAUUAAUUUUGACGUUUGAUGUUAGUCUGUGUUACGGAAGAAUUUAGUUUCGGGUAGGUAGUCGAGGUUUGAUCAGAUUUACCGGUGAACAUAAUCGAUACACUCCUCGAUUUCUGGCUUGAAAUACCGAGAAAUUCCCAGUCUUUGAAGUCGAUCAAUAGCCCAUAAGUGUUCGAAUAAGUCCACAGGGUAUACGUUCGGAACUAGUAAAUGAUAAGCAAUUUUGAAAAAAAAAAAAAAUAUUCAGAUCUGGGAGGGUUUAAUGUAAAAUAUAUAUAUGUGGCAGCAGUUUGAGACGAUGUCUGGCGGCGUCUAUUUACCUCCUCCGUUGAAUUUUUGUACGAUUUUGGUCAGAUAUCUGAGGCAAUCAGCAUUCUUAGUCUGCAUGAGGGCAAAACCAGUGGAGGAUGGAGAAAACAGAAAGGAACCAUCCUCACACUUGAGUGAUAGUAGCCUUUGCCAGUCCAGAUCUGGCAUACCCUCCAAGCUAUGGAGCAAUGUUGUGGGUACGGUGUGCAUUAUUUCCUUGGGUAUCCUAUCAUUGCAAAAAACCGGGCAUUAAACAAAUGAAUAAAGGGUCUUUUUUUUUUUAUCAGAUACAAUAGACCUACAUUAGGGAAAAAGGAUCUGAAGUGAUCCAAAAGUAAUUCGAAGGGGACUGAAAAAUACUACUGAAUCAAAUGAAUGCAUCACACACUCGUAUGAAUUAUUUUAACCAGAUCCACAUAUUGUUGUGAUAAUUGAUAGGAGUCAAAAGCUUAAAGCCUUACCUUUCAUCCCAUCAAAUCUUAAUACUUUUUAGUGGUGACCACCGCGAUAAUAAAAAAGAAUCUUUUAUUACGGGCUGGUGUAAAGGGUCUUUCUUUAGAAGGAACCUUGCUAGGAAAACUUUCCCGUAAUAUAAUAUAUAAUAUGCCAGUACCUGUUGUGUAAGGUGAGCAUACUUUUUUAGCAAAUUGGUAAUGGAAUGCAAGGUACAGCGUGACAGUGACUGUAGGACCCUUUUAUUUUAUAUUUUUGGUCGGUUUAUGGGGUUGGGUUUGGAGUGACCCGGGGGCGGAUUUUUCUUUUGGUGGGGAGGAGGGGCGGGUUUGGUUUGGAGAACGUACCUUGUUAGCUUUAUAUUUCUUCUGUCGUAUAUCUCUUGCAGGAUUGCAGAAUCAGCCGGAAUCUCAAUGCUCAACUUUUUGGCUAUCUCAAUUAGCGAAGGAAAUGCCACUUCAAAACCGAUAGGCAUGUGCUCAGCAUUUUCAUCCUCUAGCUUGUGAAUGUUAUCCCUUAUGAACAAUAAUCCUUUGAAAAAAAAGGAAGUUCAGGACUUAAUAGUUAGUACAGGAAUUAGAAAUGAGUCAUGAUCUUCAUCUGAUCAAGUCCUGUAGUUGCAAACAAACCACUUAAAAAACCCACACGCUCAAGAGGAUGAGCAGAUUCAAUUUUCGAUGAUUUGCACUACCUUUUUCGCAUUUUUCAGGAUGCAUGUUCCAGGAUUUCAACGCAACAACACAUCCCAAAGUGUUGAGUAUCCGGUCGUGAGCCGAAAAGAUUUUGCUGUCACCCCAUGAACCAUCGGAAAGCUGAUUAUCGGCGAUCCACUGGAGACUCGUAGCAAAUUGAGGGCCGCCGCUUCCGUUGACAUCUUCCACAAGGGCAACCCAUGCAGUGUCGUAAGCCGAUAUGCUUAUGUCCCCAUCAUCCAUGGAACGGAGCAUUGACCGAAUGGAUUCUAUGCUCUCUUCUAUCCUACUUGAUGUGCUUGCCUUUUUUAUUUUAAGUGGUCGCAGAAGAAAACAUGGGAAUCAAUUUCCAACAGAAGCAAAGAAGAAUUUUGCUAAAGCAAUUAAUCGAAAUGAGAGCUAUUUAUUUAUUGUUCAUGGUAUUUUUAUGAAUUACCACCUCGACAAUCCCAUUUUCAGUGCUGCCUUCUUCCAGAAUCUCUUGCCACUUUGUAACAGGCUUGCCAUUUUGGGACCCCUCAUCUAAUUCUGCAUGAGAUUUGAGCAUUUAGAUUAAACUCAUGUUGGCCCUUGAUUUUUCAUUUCACUUAAUUUUCUUUUGGCAAAAGUCUUAAAUUUUUGUGAACCUUUGGUGGGAGGACUGGAAACCGUGCUACACCGAAGACGGAAAUUAUGGUGAAGCGAUUUGCCUGGCGACCAAAUACCUACAAAAGAUGGAAUAUUGAAAUCAGGGCAGGGAUCCUCAUUUCUUCCUCCACUACAAUCAAUGCACCUUUAGUUUCAACCAAUGGUAAUCGUAAUUGAAGAUUUACGCUGAGAACUGAAAUAAAGAAGCAGAAAAAACAUAGUAGAAGCAACAAGAGCGCAGGGCUCCACACAUGCGCCUUCUUCUGAGGACUCAACUCCUCUCAUAAACCAAGAGAGAGUGAUCUGAGAGACAGAGAGACAGGGGUGAUGAAACCCACUACUAUCAUGAUGAUGGCCUUCAAGUUUUUCUUCAUUUUAGUCCAGUUACUUGUGACACUACUAAUUUUAUUGGUAAAUCUGUCCAUGCAAAGAAAGUUAGUAUGAUUUAGGUCGGAAAAGCCGUGUUGGCAGAUUUUCUGACCAUUUGUGCUAAUGAAUCGAUCGUGCAGUAAACGGCAGAAACCAAGUGGAGUAUUAAGGGAAGAGAGAGGGCAGAAUACGAUAUACAAGCUAGGAUUUCCACAACCAAGUCUUAGAUAUCAACAUACCCGAAUUUAGAGUGCUUUCAGACGGCCCACUGUUAGGAGGGAAUGAUACAAAGCGGCGGGUAGUGUUGCAUAAUCCGAGAAGGGUGGUUGCUGCUGCGGUAGCGGAAGCCAUGGCGAGUGGAUGAUUGAGGAAUGGGCUGGUUUUCUCGGAAAUUUCUUGACAGGAGGGAGGAGGAGAGGAGGAGGGGAGGAAGAUGGGCUGUGUUAAAAAGAGUUGGAACUCCUCUAAGCCAUGGUGGGGGAAGUCGGACUGGUAUUUAAAAAUGGAGAACGAGGGGCAGAGGAGAGGAAACAGACAGAUACGACACCUCUGCAGAUUCCCGCUAAUGGGACGCAUGGGAUCCUACAAAUUUCACUACUACAUUAAGAAUUGAGGGCGGUCAUACCUUCUUUGGAUUACGGUUUUUUUAUAAUUUUUUUUCAUAUAUAUUAAAUCGUUAUAAUAUAAUUUUUAAAAAUUUUAAAAAAUAUAUCAAAUCAUUAUAUAUAUAUAUAUAUAAUUAUAUAUCAAAUUAUUAUAAUAUAAAUUUUUCCAUACAAAUUUCCUAAAAUAGCAAUGCCAACAAGAAGGCCCGGAGUCUUUUUCGUUCUCCUCUCUCCUCUUUCCCCUACCUACCACUUUUCAUUUUCACACCAGCCCAGCCUCUCUUUUUUUUUUUUCUUUUCUUUUCUUUUUGACGGAUGGGAUAUUCGAGCCAUCGGAUAAACCAGACUCGAUUAAUCCCCCACCGAUCCGAGAGAAGAGGCCACAUCCCCCCAAAUACGUUAAUUAUGGGACUCGAACCCUUGCAGGAGACUGGACAACGACUCUUAAGGAAGAUGUCGUGACCAAACGAGCUGCCCAUGAGGGCACCACCCUCUCUUAUUUACUUACAAGUCGUUAACAAUUUCUAUUGAUCCGGGUCUUGGUCCUGUCCAGCCUCCAUUUCAUUUUUCUUUUUCUUUUUCUUUUUUUAAGUCAAUAUGUAGUUGGUUUUAUCUAUUAGGUUCAGGCAGAAAUGAUUGCUGAACAGGAAAUUAUCUGUGAAAUAUCCUGGCAAAUUCGAUUUCCAUAUUUGACUACAUGUUGGUUGUGGACCAAAGUUUAUUACCCCAAAAUUCGAGAAAGUGAACCUUGAAAGAAGCAGCCGAGUUUGCGUGGGAUUACUGAUUAGUAGUAUUGGGGUGGGAUCAAUUUUAGUGAGUGGAUGAAAAUUUAUUGGACUCUCUGAGUAAGUACAUUAAUGCGGAAGAUUUACAAAUAAAGGGGCGGGUGGUGACUAUUUUUUUAUAGUAGUUUAAUUAGCGCCUAGAGAGUACUCAUUUUAAUAGUGGGCUCACCUCUCUUUUUUCUCUACUUAUUUAGUGCCUAGAAGUACUAAAUGAAAAAAAAAAACAUUUACAGUAUAUUUGGCAUAUGCGCGUUAGCAGAAAACAAAUCUCUAUGCUGCAAAUUUAUAAAAAAAAAAAUUUACGUUUUUCUUGAACACAUUUUUUUAUUAUUUUUUAUUUCACAUAUAUCAAAUCGUUAUAAUAAAUUUUUUACAAAAAAUUUCAAAAAAAUGCAAUCCAAACAAAGAGGCCUUCUCACAGCUUUAGGGUUACUAAGCAUCAUCUAAUCUAAAUUAAGUAAUUAACCAAAGCGUAGAUCGCCAUCAGCAACACUCUGCCACGAUAGCAGUUCUAUUAGUGUUCGUACUCCACUAGUCAUAUUGUCUUCCAAAUUUUAUUUAUUUUUUAAAUUCAAGGAGGCUUAGUCUCUUGCGAGAAGAAAUGAAAAAAUGGAAGCAUUUGAGAAUCACCUAAUUAAUGUUUCUAACAACCAAUUCAGAAUAUAGCCCUAAAAGGAAUCUUUUUCCAUAAAAUUUUUACGUUUUUCGUGAAUAUAUUUUUUAAUUAUUUUUUUUAUUUUACAUAUAUCAAAUCGUUACAGUAUAAUUUUUAAAAAAAAAAACUUCAAAAAAUAGCAAAUUCAAACAAGUGUGCGUGAUUACAAAAUGCUUAAAAAACGAGUGAAUAAUUCUAACCACGUCACACGUAACGAAGAUGGUCAUUUUGUUGGGUAGAUGAAACUUUGAUAUGUUAUUAUACUUUAGUAUUUUUCUUUUCUUUUCAAAAUAAGAAUUUUGCAAUAAUACGCCUUGAGGUUUCCAUAUGUCUUUUUCUCAAGAGAAAAUAAUCAAACAUAAGCUACUCUGGGAAUUGGGAAAAAUCAAUGGUCAGCUUAAACUAAAGCAAUCUUUCAUGACCAUGAUAAAGCAUCGACUUUUCUGAGGUCCAUGGCAGCUUAUGACCAAAAAAAAGAUAGUAAAGCAAUAGCCGCGACCUUUUUUUUUUUUUUUGGAAACUCAGAAAUAAAUUUCACUUAUGAAAGAUAAGCAAGAGCAGCAUCAAUAACCUUCUCGGGGAAGCUUACAAACCAGACAAAGCACUAUAGUGAUAAUUAAGGUGCAAACGAAUUGAAUCGAGUUAAAUUUAAUUUUAUAAAUCUCGAAUUCGAAAUUAACGAGCUUGAGUUGAAAUUUAAAAAUAAAAAAUAAUUAUUUUAAUUUUAAAAAUAAGUAAAAUAAUAUUUUUAAUGAAUAAAAAUAUAUUUUUUUUUAUUAUUAAAACUUUAUAUAUAUAUAUGUGGUCGAACCGACUCUCAAAGCAACAAGCUGGAUAAAACUAUUCGGUUUUAGUGGCAGAUCGCGGAUUGAGGUCCAUGGGAGUUCGUGACUAUAUGACUAAUGUUAUUAAAUACUACCGUGCAAAGUUUUGCAGUGGGCAACCGUCAAUAUAAGAUACGGUAAAGCAAUAGACAAUAUCUCGGCAGGAGCGCUGUUCAUCGUCCUCACAUGACAAAUUUUGACAAAUCCAAAAUUAGCUAGCAUAGAUCUGACCCCACAUCGAAAGAUCAGGUUCAUCACUGUUAAUUCUCAGAGCAAAAUGUUAAUUAAGAGCAUCACCUUCCAAUUAAAAACAAAAAUGUGUGAUUGCAAACUGUUAAGGCAGUGAGAAUGGCUUUUUUGAAAAGCAUUCUUCAUGUUCUGCAGUGCACUGAAUGCUCAGCCAUUGCUGCUCCCACUCGACCCAAAUGUUUGCCAUUUCCCGCAUUAAUGGUCCGCGAUCAUUAAGCAUUCGCUUGCUGAGGUCCAUUGCGGUUGCAGCUAAAGACCUUCCUGUUAAUUACUGUACUGCGCAGAUUUGUACCGCAGCCAGUAUCAAAUAUGUUAGCAUGCUUGAGAAUGAUCAUGAUAAUAAUAGCAUCAUUGAGUCGCCAAAAUGACCUUAUUAUUUCCAUUCGUGGUUUGUUGAAUUGGUCAAGCAUGUCAAAUUGGACAUUGAGCUCAGGGAGGACCAUGCAGCUAGUCAAAACAUUUUUUUUUUUUCUUCGUCUUAAAAUCAUUUCGGUCAAAAGCAAGAAGCCAGAGUAAAAAAAAGGGAAAAAGGGAAACUCGUUUUCUUUUCUUUAUAUGCUUCCAUCAAAUCAAACCAGCUUUUUUUUAAAAAAAAAAAAAAAAGAAAACUUUUUUUGGAUGCAGUAUGUCAUAUGUCCAUAUACUACGAAACACUCUAGUAGUAGUAGUUGGUAGGUUAAUUACGCCACUAAUUUAUCAAGUCCGACUAAGCUCCGACCAUGGCUAAUUCGACAAAGGUACCUCAACUCCUCCGAAGCUCCUCAGUUCUUAACUUGCUGCUUUAUUGUUGGAAAUUUUACUCAAAAAUCAUUUUGUACCACCAUAACAACAAGAGAAGAAACAACCGGUCCAGAUGAAAUCUGAAUUGAUUUAGAAUACAGUACAUCCUUGGAUAUUAUAUAUGCAUUUUGGAUCCUUUGCCUGAUUGGAAAUUACCCAAAAAAAAAAGUCUGCAACAACUACUAUUUAACCUAUUCUUACUCUUACCGCCGUAUGGGAGGAGCCUAAACGAGUUUGUAUGGAGGGGAUCCAAUGACCAGGAAGAACUCCUUGACACGCUCCCACGCUCCCAUGCACGGUCUGGCUCUUAUUCUUAAAAUAAAAGCUUAAAAAAAUUGAGAGAGUGCGUGUACGGUCAAUUAGAAAUAUUCAUAGCCUCAUUAAUGUCCUUCGUCCUUUAUUUAUUUGUUUAUUUUUCAUUUAUUUGACGUGUCGAGGUACCACAAAAAAAAAAAAAAAAAGGUUGAGGUUGAUUUAAAUACAAAGAUUUAUCCCCCCUCUAGUUCUCGCUCUCAGCCCUGUACUUACUUUCCCACACGUGGAUAAUGGACAACAACAAGCAGCGCAAUUUGCUGGGACCUUCUCCGCCUCAAUAAUGUCCUUUGUCGUUUAUUUAUUUUUUUUCAUUUAAUAUUUCUCAGGUAUUGCAGAAAAGGACAUUGAGAUUUGAUUGAAAUGCAAUUGAAACAUAUAAUUUAAUCACCAAAUCCAACUUUACCCCGUUAGGACGAACAAGUAGUGCGAUUUGCUGGGACCUUCUCCACUUUCUUUAGUAGCUGUCUUUUCAUGUUUUAUUAUAAUCAUUCACUAAAACGAGAACGAGAACGAAGCCAACUCAUACAAUCCGAUCUAAAUAUUUUGCAAAUUACCAUUAUGCAUAUAGUUAAACCUAUAAAAUUAAUUUGAUUGCCCAGUGAAAAAUACUUUGCGAACGGCUCGAGUAGAUAAUUUUUAACCCUGCGGUAUAUGAGAAGAUUUUUCAUUUUAUUUUAUUUUUGGUCUUUUAUUUUGUCCGUUUUGCAAGGAGUACAAAAAUUUUAUUGCUUCAGAAUAGGACCACGAAAUUAAUGUAUUAAUUGUUAGGGUCAUAAGGGCGAGUUGUCGUGGAAUUAGGAUGUUGACGCAUCUAAUGCGAGCCGUUCAUCUUAUUGCUUGGACUCUUUAUAAAAAAUAAAAAAAAAAGGACUCUUUAUUCCUGUCUCUGGAUUUGGACACAUGGAUACAGAAUCUUUUUUAUACACUUUCUCUUCGAUGCUUUUUUUUUUUGCUGACGUUUUCUUCCUUCAUAUAUCAAGCCAAAUUUAUGACUCCAUGAAUCAGGGGCAAACUGCUGAGGAAAGCAUGAAGACAGAAGCGGAUACGAAAUGAUUCGAUGUCAUUUUCAAGAAAUACAUGGCCUCUCGACUCAAUACCUUCCCAAAUAUCUAAGUAUAACUACUAUUAGCAAUACGGUGUAACCUCUAUACCAAAUACUGGCCAACAAAAGUUAAGCACGCUGUUGUUGACCACGAAUUAUAUAUGUUUGUACAUCAUCGAAGAGAGUUUUUUUUUUUUUUCCUUUCUUGCUAAUUUUAACUUCGACGGUACUUUGAAAUAAGAUACUUAAAUUAAAUCAACCUAUUAUCUAGUUUUGACUCGAAUCGCUCGUGAGUUCGAUUAGUUUACAACCUCAAAAUUGACGAUCAACUAGGUGGUUGGGUUUAAAGGAAGGGAUGUAUUUUGUGAUUCGAAUAAGAGAGCUCGUGGUUAGAGAGUUUUUAGUUUUUAGUCUCUCGCUUAGAUUAAAAAAAGAAAAAGAGCGGUUGGUGUAAGCAUGAAAUACAUCGUUCGGAGCAUGUGCUAGAAACCUUCGCCUAGUCAAGUGUGUCUGACAAGUACAACCGACAAUAAUUUGAUGGUCCCAUAAUUGCUAGCACACCUCACCUGGAAAUACAAAGACGAAAUCUCCAGAAAAGGAGCCACAUACUCACACCUACUACACAUGCAGUGGCAUCUACUGCGUAUAUUAUUCGGCACCUGCCUGGAGAAGCGCAGCUGCAUUGGCUGACGUGCCCCAUCAUUUAAAUAUUUGUAUAUUUUAAAAAGUUUGAGAACAAAGACAAAAAACUUAUAAAAUGGUUUAGUCUUUUUUCAGUGUUUAAUUAAUAUUCUACUUUGAAUGUUUUCGGUCUUCAACGUUCAAUGGUUUUGAAUAUUCCUGGUCUAAUUUCCGGUGCUAAUGCUGUGAGGUAACCCAAGAACACGGAGGCACCGUUGAUGAUUAAACUAAUGCAACAAAGAGAAAAGACGACUAAACACGCUACUACAACAGGCGCCUGAGCUUUCAAAUUCAAAUAUGGUAAACUGCAGUGUGCUAUUUCUCUGGCAACUUUAUUACAGACCCCGUGACAUAAAAUAUCAACCACUAAUGAGGAAUCAGGAAAGAGAGAAUUAUGCACUGCCACGUGUUUCCUCUCUCUGACGGUCUGAGCUUUUAAUGCAAUAAUAUCAAGGGAUAAUUUCAAAAACCUCCCUUGAGAUUUUUAUUAUUUCACUGAACUCUCUUCACGUUUUGAAAAUUUCACUAACUUCCGUUGAAGUUAAUUAUCUCGUAAUAUUUAGAUUCAUUCAAUAAAUAAAAUGUGAUAUUAGAACAAAGAAAAAUAAUAUUUCAUCAUCACUCCUCAUUUGCUAUACUAUUUAAUUAAUUUAAUAUCAAUCCACACAUUAACAAAAACUAAAAUUUGUUAUUUAUGAUUAGGCAUCAAAUCAUAUAUAACAUCAAAAAAUAUUACUAUAUCAUUCUAUAUAUUUCACUUAUUGUAAGAUUUAAAUUACUCUUUUCAGUUAUAAAUUCACUAUCAAAUAUGAUCAACAGCAAAUAAUCAAAAAAUUUGCAACUAAAAUAUUAUAGAAAAAAAAACUUUAAUAUCAUAAAUAUCCUGAUGUUACAAGAUAAUAAACUUUAGAGGAAGUUAGUGUAAUUUUAAAACUUGAAGGGAGGUUAGUGAAAUAGUUAUAAACCUCUGCAGCUUUGUCCCCCCAACAAAUCAACUACUACGACUAAGAGUUAUUUCCGUUUGACACGACUGGGACCCGGGGCAAUAAACUACUCCCUGUACUUACUAGAGAUGCGACCUUCUAACGUCCAUUCCAUUGCAAACCAGCAGGUGGUUCUAAAGAGCUUUGUAAAUAGCUUUAGAUAGGACAUAACGAAUGAGAGUGGGGCGUAAAUCUAUAUCUAUAUGUAUUCAAGGAAGGUUUUUAGCAGAAACCUCUCAAUGGCUUCUAAAUUUUCAUUCUUUUUUUUAGAUUUUUGUAUUUAUUUUAAUACAUAAAAGUAGUGGGUUAUAACCCACCUUAUCACUAAUUAAAUUUAAAUUUAAAAUAUUCCCACUAUCUCUUAACUCAUCCUACAACCACUCCUACAAAUCCUCUAAUCAUCAUCCCACGUUUCCUCUACAUUUCCUCUACAUUUCCUCUCACGUUUCUCACUCCAAUUAAGAGUUCUCCAAUUUAAGAAUUCCACCCCUAUUAAAACUCCUCCAAACAUAGCAUGCUCCUUCAAUUUCUUGCAUGCUCAUUCGUUUUUUGGUUAACCAAAACAAGAAUCUAUUAUCUCUUUCAUCUUUCUUGUGGUGUCAAUCUUAGUCUUUAUUAUUUUCGAUUAUUUCCAAUACCAUAAUACUAGUGUGAAUGCCCGUACUACGUACGUGCUGGCAUUAUUGAAAAAGUAAAAAUAAAAUGGUGAAUAAAAAAAGUUUAAAAAUUGUACCAACACAAUUAAAAUGUAAUAUCUGUUUAACAAUAGUUUGAAAUAUGAUAGAAUGUGCAUAUCAUUCAAGAACUGUCUUUUUUCGGAAGAUAGAUUCUAAAAAAAUAAUAGAAAUUUAUUUUAGAAAUGAAUGAUAUAUGAACAAAAUGAAUGUAAUUGAAUGUUGUUAAAAUGAAAUACUUACAAAUAUUAUGCAUUCGAUUUGAUAAUACAAAAAUCUAUAACUCACUGCUUUUCCUUCUUGGAAUUUUUUUAGGUUAAAUAUAGUAAGCCCCUUAACUUUACAUUUAGCUGCACUUUACCCCCUCAACUUUACAUUUAGUUACACAUUUGUGAUUUUUUUGAAACGUGAUUGUAAUUUGCAAAGCUCAUUUGUAGGUGGUUAUAGGGUUAGUUUGGGAAUAAAUAUUUCUUAAUUAUAAAAAUGUAACAUUGUAUUAAAAUAGCAUACGAAUGAGCAUUUGUCUUUAAUUAAUGAGUAAAAAGAAUUUAAAGUAUAAAAAAUAAAAUAUAAACUGUUUAUGAAAUAGAUAGUUGGAAUGUUUUAAAUUUUAAAUUUGAUUGGUGAUAGGGUUGGUUAUAAUCCACUACUUUUUAUGUAUUAAAUAAAUACAAAAAUUUAGAUAAAAAUCUAUAACUUACUGCUUGUUCCGUUCUUGAGAUUUUUUUUAGGGUUAAAAUAUAGUAAACCCUUUAACUUUACAUAUAGUUGCACUGUACCCCUCAACUUUACAUGUAGUUGCACAUUUGUGAUUCUUUUGAAACGUAAUUGUAAUUUACAAAGCUCAUUUGUAGGGUGGUUAUAGGGUUAGUUUGAGGAUAAAUAUUUCUUAAUUAUAAAAAUGUAACAUUGUAUUAAAAUAACAUACGAAUGAGCAUUUGUUUUUAAUUAAGGAGUAAAAAGAAUUUAAAGUAUAAAUAAUAAAGUAUAAACUUUAUGAAGUAGAUAGUGUUAAUGUUUUAAAUUUUAAAUUUGAUUGGUGAUAGGUGAUUAUAAUCCACUACUUUUUAUGUAUUAAAAUAAAUACAAAAAUCUAGAAAAAAGAAUGAGAAGUUUAGAAGCCAUUGAGAGGGUUUCUGAUAAAAACCCCUUUCUACUACAUAUAGAUAUAGAUGUCUCUAAUUUUGUUUUCAACCCUUUUACUGAUCGACUUAAUUAACUUAUCGAGUUAAUUCCCCACCCCCUCUCUCAGUUUCUUCUUUGUUUUUUGUUCUCUAUUGAUUUUGUAAAUGUAUUAAUUUUAUUUUCUUUUGUGAGCAGUUAUGGCAGAAAUUAUGUGCAGAGACUUCAAUGGAAAUUAACCUUCUUGUGGAGAAAUGGAAGUAUAUUCUCACCGGCUUAAUUUUUCAGGUUGGUCCAUUCUGCCUCUCUUUUUUGUCAUGUUUUGCUUUUUUUUUUUAAGGUGAUUUGGUCUUUUACUUUCUUCUUUCUCCUUUUAUUUUCUGGACUAGCAGAUGGUUUGAUUGCAUACAUUAUCAAUGCUUUAUUUGUAAUAACCUGGAGAAGUAAUUAACUUAAAUCUUGGAAAGGCUUUAGUGUUAUGCUUUGAUUGAUAAGGUAUUGCUUGCUUAUAUAAUUGCAGAUGGUAUAGGAACCUGAUUGAGGGUUUUACUAUUUUAACAUAAAACCAAUUGCCACCAAAAAAAAAAAUUUGAAGGGCUUAAUACUGUUAUUCAGCCUUUUGAAACGGUAAAAAAAAAAAGGAAAAACUCACAAAGCAUAACUAUCUAUCAUGGCCAAUAGUAUACUGAUCACCAUUCAAAUUUCACAAGUGAACCCCAAUUUUAAAACUCCUCAACCCAAAGCCCAAAAUCGAUGAGCGAAUAAAAUUCUGAAAGCGACCUCAACUUCACUAUUUACAUUUGAAUCGAGCAGAAACUGGAAAACAAAUCUAUUCGAAAAUGGGUUAUCCGCAGAAAAUCGGUAACAUAUACUACUGGCAGCGACACAAACUUAGGAUAUACGUUGUUGUUGUCAAAGUUUCCAUACAAGAAGCUUGCUCUUAAAAAGUAUCUGGUCCUACUCAUAACAUUAAGUGUGUAACAAUACUUUCUGUUAUCCGCAGGAAAAUAUCUCAAAGUCAUAUAUUGAGUUCUUUGCUCAUUGGCAACAGAUAUACUAGCUCUUCCUCCGCUGAUCAUCUGACUAUCAGGAGUCCACAGGAGACCAAGUUCAUCUGGAAAGGUACCUUUGCCUCCGCAAUCCAAACUUAAAAAAACCUGAUCCACGGGCCACAUUAGUCAGAAUCAUAUAGUUUUGGCUUUCGUACUAAAAGUGGAUUGGUGUGAAGAGUGUUCGCACCGUCAAGUAAGAUUAUCAAAUCGAAUGCUUAGUAUUUGUAAAUAUUUCAUUUUAACAACAUUCAAUUACAUUCAUUUGUAGAAAUAUAUCAUUCCCUUUUUUAAUAUAAAUUUUUAUUUUUUUUCAGGAUCUAUCUUCCGAAAAAAGACAGUUAUUCAAUGAUAUACACAUUCUAUAAUAUUUUAAACUAUUGUUAAACAGACAUUACAUUUAAAUUUUGUUGGUACAAUUUUUUCACCUUUAUUUGUUCAUCAUUUUAUUUUUAUUUUUUUUCAAUAAUGUCAGCACCGUGCGUAGCACGGGUAUUCACGCUAAUUUAAUUUUACCGUAAAAUGGACUUGGUGAUACCUCGGAUCCGGAACACACCUGUUGCUGUGGCAGUGGCAAUAUGAUCGGGGUACAAUUAUUCAACACAUCCUUUUUUUUAUUUUUAUUUUUUCUAAAAGUUACUUUUACCCAAGAAGAAUAUGACAGUUUCCAUACGGAUGAAAACGAACCAGUUAUUCGGCCUGACUUAAUUGACUUUUUUCCAAUGUUGAAUAUUUUUGAAAAAUGCGCUGUUGAGGAAAGGAAGAAUUUUGGCCAUCCGCAGCCGUAACGCAAGUGCUCGCUUUUAUUUCUUCUUCGUUUUAUUUUUUCUUCUCCUGCUUGGGUGUAUGCGUGUGUGUUUUCUUCUCCUCCUUGUUUUCGUUCUAGUACUAUUUUCUGGGGCACAUUCCUGAGAUGCUCAAGUCAACAUCACGGAUCAGAAAUCGACAUUUGACGAUUACAUCUAGGGUGGACAGUUCAUAUGCCCCCGGGCCACGUGGGCAGAGCAAUGUACGGAGGCCAACUGUGUUAUGUGGGGACAGCAAAAAGACGUUCGGGUACAGUAGAAUGUCGUGGAUGAAAUAAUGUACCAAUACAUUUUGAUAUUUACAACAAUUGCCCUCUUAAAAAUUUGUUCAUCGGCAAAUGCCCAAUACUUGAAGGUAUCUCGAGAACACUCCAGCAGAGAUGCGGAUCCUAGCGAAAAGAAAGAGUGAUUGCCCAGUACACAUGGGAAAAAGACACAGAAAGGUAGAUGUGAUCGCUGUAACCAAAAAAUGAGUGAAAAUUUCAAUCUAGUUAGUGAAUUUUGUACGUGUCAAACCUAAAUUGAUCAUUUUUUUUAGGGACUGAAAAUACUUCUUUUAGUUUUGAGAGACAAAAUUUUCAUAUUGUUAAUACGUGAGGAACAAUUUAUGCAAUUUUUCCUUAGAUUAAAUGCAUAAAAAAAAUCUGUGUUCUUAAAUGAUAUAAAAAUCCUCAAAAACAAUCCUCAAAUGGAUAGGGUAUUAUUUGAAAUAUUAUUUGGAAUAAUUACUGUAGCAUUUUUGUGAUGUGAUGUAUGUGAGAUAAAAAGGUGAUUAGGAAUAUAAAAAGGUGGGUUGGAAAAUGUGUUUAUGAUGCAAGCAAAAUAUUAUUUGGGAUAAGUUGGUUAUCCAAACAAACUAUUCUCUAGCCUACAGAGCAUCGUUUUGUCAAAUUAAUUACAAAUAAAUAACAAUACACAGAUCGUAUAUAAAGAGAAACAUUAAUGGGAAGAAGAAAAUUUUAAUUUGAGUAUAUAAUAACUUUAUUCUAAACACUAUAACACCAAUUGUUGCAUGACUAGUAGAUAUGAGCUUUAUUGGUUAUGGUUAGGAAUUAUGAUUACAAUAACAAGUAAAGAUGAUUACCAACAGAAAGCACUCAUAUAAUUUUUAAAAUAUUUCUUACCGUUUCUUCUUGUCAUUCUUUCAUACCUUCAUAUAAAAUCAAAUACUUCAACAGUACAAUUUUAAUGUAUUUACAUUUAUGGUAAUCAUAUAAAUAAUUAAUUGAUAAUGAAUUUUGUUCACUGUUGUUUUUGUUUAUUUUUCUCGUGCACGUUCCUGAGAUGCUCUCAAGUCAAAACGCAAAAGCACGGAUUCUCACACUGGAAGGUCAGUGGGAAAUGCAUGCCCUCCCCAGCUGCGUUGCAAGAGUUCCGCCGACACGCCACUCCUGGCCUUUGAAAACGUGCUUCAACAAUGACUUUUCCAGUUUACCAAAUUAUGAAGCCUUCAUACUAAUUAGCUCAAAAUUACAUGGAUAUACGCACACCCGGCCAUUUCCGGUUUACCGAAAAAAGGACACGGCUAUACACUUAUUAUUUACAAAAAGAAAAAUAAAUUACAGCCCACUAGAAUGGUAAAAGUAAAAGAGUCCCCGUCCGUCCCGGGCUUAAUAGUCUUCCUUUAGAUGCUCUCUGAAGCAUUUCUUUAUUUCUAUUUGUUACUAUUUUUUUUUUGACUCGUGGGAAAAGCCAAAUGAGACAACUUCAAGCAUCUCGUCAAGAAUUCCGCCUCCUUUAGUCAGUUUCAGCAUCUUUUUCCUUUCUCGUCGUCUGUCUUUUUUCAGAUAAGACACAACUAGCAGUCAGGACUUAGGAACGUCAGUCUGUGAGACCAUUGGAUACUUAAGUCCGUUCGACAAAUGAGUUUUUUUUUUUUUAAUAUUUAUCUAAAAGAAAAAAAUAGUCAGUGGCGCUGGCCGGCGGCUCUGGUGAUAGUGGGGUGAGGUGGAGGAGGAAGAAGAAAAAUAAAAAAGAAGGGAUUUGCAUGUUUUUGGGUAUUGUAAGGUGUUUAUAACAAAAAUUUUGGAGAGUUUUUUGGAGUUAUUAUAACUUAAAAUUGUUAAAAAACUUGCUUGCUAAACAGGGAUUGAGUUUAACUUUCAAACCCUCUAUUUUAUUUCCUUUGUAAGACUUGAAGCCUUUCCUUGAAUUAAAAAAAAAAAAAAAUCCAUUCACAGGACUAUUACCGUCGUACAUUCUUUUGCCUUAGUCGUUGAGUUGGUCCUAGCCCAAUAACGCGGUAGCCACUUUUAAGGUCCUACGAUCAACCUGCGGAAACUUUGGAGCUCAACGAGCAAUUGGCCCAGUGUUUCAUAUUCGUGAAAAAAUUUGUUUUCUGGGGACUACAAAAACAUGUUUGCAGCUCAUCCGUUGCUUUUGGGUCCAUUGUCCUCUGGACUGUACAAACGGGGGAGCUAAGCAAACGAUUAUUUUAUUUUAUUUUAUAUUGGACUACAAAUAUUAGUUGGCACCUGAAACGUUGCUGGUCCAACCCAGAAAACUUUGCUCCAUGGCCCAUGUGAUAAAUAACUAGGAGGAAUUAAAACAACAUCACGUGAUUAGCGCUUGAGUUUGACUCAAAUUACCCAGUCGAGUGACAAAAGGGACUCUCACCAGUAACAGCGACAAAAGAGGUGCAUAGAAAAUGGUCUCUCUUCGAUUUCCAUUCUCGUUUUCUCAGCCCCCUACCCCGAAGCCACCCAACGCAUCCACCUCCUCUUCUUUCUCCACCAGUGCAACCACAGCAAGCUCCGUAGCCGCAGUCUGUGGUGCGGGAAUCGCCGCCGGUUUAGCUCUCUCCCAAACUCCCGCUAAUCCUCUAUACGGCAACGCCUUCAGUUCCUUGUUAUCCAAUCUGUUGCUCAAAACAAGCCAUUUCUCUCCGAUGUGGGGUUCUCUUUCUCUCUCCGGUAGCUCCGCUUCGGUUGCUGAACCCAAGACGGGAAUGUCAUUCCCCUCAGUUCUCAAAGAUUCCCAGCGACUUCUUGGAAUUGGGUUGAGGAAAAAAGCCGUUUUGGGGUUGAAAAACAUAGACGUUUACGCUUUUGGUAAUUGCAAUUUGAUCUUCCACCUUAUUUUGAUUGAUAAUGUCAGUGCCAUUUUCUCUCUCUUUUUGGCAGUUCGAUUAAUUCGAUAUUGACUCCCCAUAAAAUUCUCGCCUGAUCCCCUACUACUAAAUAAGUACAAAUCUUGACUCCUUCCUAGCUGCUGUACUUUAUGGAAACCAGUCAAUCUUGAUUUGUGUUGGGGGAUAUUUUUCCACUGGCUCUUUUACAUGAUUAAGUGAGUGAAUCUCAAUUAGCGCUGAAAUGACUAACUGUGCUAUCAAGUUGAAUUCAGCUUGAGAAUGAUAAAGCUAAGCUGGAAAUACAAUUUUAGGCUCAUUGCCCAAACUAAACUUGAGCUCAUUUUCUAUCUCGAUUGAGCUCAGUAGCACUCCAAAUUUAAAAUGUGUUUCACACUUAUUUUGCUUCUCUAAAUAAUGUAUCUAAAAUGGAGUGCAUUGUGCGGAAUCUUGGUUUUAGGCUAAUGAAAUGGACUAUACACAAUUUUCGGUUUUCUGAGUUACAUCUCAACUUUUCCUUGGGAUUAACCGGUGUGAUUUCACCAUGGCAUUCUUUAGGGGUAUAUGCCGAUGAUGGUGACAUAAAGAAAGUGCUUACUGAGAAAUAUGGAGCACUGUCCGCAGCUGAAUUGAAAGAAAAGAAGGAAUUGAGGGAGGAUCUCAUGGAAAGUGAUGUAAGCAUGACUAUUAGACUCCAAAUAGUCUAUGGAAGAUUAAGCAUUCAAUCUGUACGUAGUGCUUUCCAAGAAUCUGUUGGGAACAGAUUAAGGAAAUUUGGAGGGCCCAAUAAUAAAGAACUUCUUGAAAGGUAAUCCUAUGGCUUCCGCUGCUAGCUGUAACCACAUUUGAAUUGCGUUUUGUUAUCACCCAUCAAGGUUUGAGAUUUUCAGAUGCUAUUUUGUGGGUGAAUCAAUAUUAUUUUGCAUUGAUCUUAGUGCUGUCUCCUAAAUACAAGCUUAUAUUAUGACCCUGUGAAUCAUGGUUAAAUUUUCAUAGGAGCAUAACUAGCCAAAUUGUGUAUGUUGUUCUUUGGGAUACUGCACGUGAUUAUAUGUUUCAAGUUGGUCAACAUGUUUUUGCUGCUGCUUUAAACCAAUCCCCUGCCAUGAGAAUCUUUAUUUGGUUUCAGAUAUAAGAGCCUGCACUUAGAUUUUCAACAACGAUAUUUCCUGUUUAUGAUACUAUCAUUUUGCUUGUAGAAUUGACUGACUGUGACUAUUCGAAUUUGAUUGGAAGAUAUUCAUUUGUAGUAAUUUUAUCACAAAAUGGAUUUCAAUCGCCUUUUAUGUUAGUAUCAACUGUACAUGAUACAUUUGCAUCUGUAGACAAUGAUAACUUUUAAGUUCGGAGCAGGUUCACAUCCCAGUUCAAAGAUGAAUAUAAGAUACCUCGAGGGUCUAUCAUAGAUCUUUCAAGGGAUCAAGGCUAUGUUCUUCGCACAACAAGUAAGAGAGUUCUUUAUUUCGCUGACUCUACUUGAAAAAAAUUAAUGAACAGGGGAUUUGUUGAGCGUCUCUAUCCUUGUAACUUAUCAACUUAAAACUGCCCUUUCUUUUUUCUUUUGUAACCAUAGUUUUUUCAUGCGUGUGAGAUCUUCAAACCAACGAGUUUUGGGAACUUAAAUGUCGGAGGUGAAGAAGUAUUAUUAUUGUUUCUAUAGAGACGAGAAAGACCUCCUUGUUUGGAGUCAAAAGUAUGUGACAUUCUUGUUUGGAGUCAAUAAAUAUGGUAAUUUAAAGCGCUGUUUAUAUCACUGCAGUUGAUGGACAGGAGGUGGGAAGCAUUCAGAGCAAGCCACUAUGUCGCUCAAUCAUUGAUCUAUAUAUUGGUGAUGAACCUUUUGAUCAGAAAGCUAAAGAAGAUGUUCAAAAGAAUUUGGCUCAUGUUCUGCAGAAGUAGACGUGCACUGAUGAAAAAUCUGUCAAGGUGGAUGAGGGAAGUCUCUACUUGGUUGUUCUUUCUUUCCGUGAAACUGGUUAACAAAUGGGGUGCUCUGUAGAGUUCUUUUUCUUAACUUUAUCCAAGCGCAAUAGAGAAUUGUUGAGAGCCCUUCUCGCGUGCAUCUCUGCUAAUCAGGUGGACUGCUUUUUCUUUCUAGAAUUUCUUGGAUUAUUGGUCGAAAAUUAUUUAGAUUCUUUUUUGAGUCUUAUCAUAUUGAGGUAUACUCAAAUGCCAUCAUAAACUGAAAACAAUCCGACAACAUUUACGUCAAUGUCUGGUAGAGAGGGAACAAAACGACUUCGAACUAAAUUUGUGAAAAUUGAGGGUCAAAUUACAUAUAGAACGCAAGAACCCAACAUACAAACUCGAUCUUUGGCAGCUAUACAUGUAAAAAUCCAGGCGAAAGAAUACAUAAAAGACUUCUAAACAGAUGUAUGGGGUAGACUGCAACGGACUUGGGGAAGGAAGGGAUCGAGAGAUAGAAAUGGAUUUUGACGUCAAACACAGCACCAAGCUAAUCCAAUAUACCUAUUCACAACCCCUUCUCAAACUGUCAGCAACUCCUGGAAAAAUGUCAAAGGAAAAGCUUAUUAUGAGUAUCCAGGGAAUGAAAAUGCAGCAGUAGAAGGAAAAAAUAUACAUCUAUCAUGCAGCAAUUCGGUAACCAUAAAUUGAAUUUUGGAGUAGCUUAUAAGAUGUAUUUGCCAUCCUAGAAGAUUCUCUUCUUUCUUCAUUCUGUUUAGUCUACUUUCAUGGUACGGACAGACAGACACUAAAUCUCACACACUCUCUCCAAAUGAAAACAGCAUAAUAACAGACUUGAAAGAUCACCUUCUCCUUCUGUUUGUAGAGGGAAUCAAUCUUUUUCAUAUAUUCAUCUGUCACUUUCUGCACACAACCAACCAAGGGAAGAAUCAAAGGCAGAAGCAGUUUUGCAAUCCAGAGAACACGACGGGCACCGAUUACACAUGAGAAAAUACGGCACUCAAUAUAAAACAUCAGCUAUGGUUUUGAGAAAAAGAGGACAAGAAAGAAAAACUAGAACGCGCCGAAGAAUAGAUAUCCACGUGUUUCCUGUACAGUUACACUUUCUGAUUGUCCAAAGAAUUAGUGCUUGUAAUUAUUGAGACAGAACACCAAUAUUAAUUAAUUACCUGCAGAUCACUGGACAAGUCUUUCACAUUGUCCUCGGACAGCUUUUUCUCCUGGAAGUAGAGCAGGUGGUAACAACUGAGAAUCCUAAUUUAGUGUGAAGUAAAGUAAUCUAAAGUACAGACCUUCUCAAGUUUUUCAUAGGAUUUGAUGGCAUCUCUUCGUACAUUCCUCAAUGCUACCUUAAGGUAACAAAUAAAGAAAAGUAAAGCUUAGUUUUCCAACAAGAGUAAUCAAAAUGUAAAGAAAUAACAUAUUAUACGAAUUUCUAUAAACAUAGUAUUCAUAGUGAACCUUGCUGGUAUAAAAAAUAAAAAUUAAUCAUUCAGUGAUCUCUUAGGACACGCACAACCACGACAAAUCAAUAAUUAGUCUACCCAUGCAGCCUCAACCAUGCUGUCAAGGUAAUAUUUGAAUCAUCUAAAGACUUUUGAGCAUAUGUACAAAACUACAUGUUCUUUACAGUAAAAAAUCGAUUGACAGCCACAACUAACUCAAACAUUAGAAGGCCAGAGAAGUGUAUCUUCUGAUGCAAAUUGAGUUACAGGCUAAGCACCUCAUUUGAAAUCUCACAUGCUCCAAAAGGGACCAUGAAACGAAUAACAGGUACACAUAAUAGUUGAGCAAUGCCAACCCAUCCAAUAAUGCCUAGAAAUUUACCUUCCCUUCCUCAGCUUGUUUUGCCACAAUUUUUGAUAGUUCCUACGAAGAUAAAGAUGAAAGAGGAGGAAAUGCAAGUUUAGAUAUUGAGGCUAUUCAAAUACAGGGAAUAAUUCAACUUGCCAGAUAUCACUAUUUUCAAUUUGUAGUAAAAGUUUAAGUUUUAGCAUACGACAUUAAUUCCAUGGAGUCCUCCUUUCAACAUAAAAGCAGGUCAUACCUUUCUCCUCUCUGAUGUAAGUUGGGGUAUUGCCAGCCUUAUAACUUCUCCAUCAUUGUUUGGUGUCAUACCAAGGUCAGAGUUGACAAUUGCUUUUUCUAUAGCCUUCAAGCUGAAACAAUAGAAGUCAAAUAGAUUUCAUGGAUUAGAUACAGAUAUCAAGAAACUUACUCAUUAUCUUCACACAACAGAAGCGAGUUUCACUUGAUCUGCUAUUUCAAGUAUGGAUUAAUGAAAGCAUACGCGGAUUUGUCAUAGGGUUUCACCAAAAGUGAACUUGCAUCAGGAGUACUAAUUUGAGCUAUGCUCUUCAAGUUGGUUGGUGCUCCAUAGUACUCCACCUAGUGAGGAGAGGUUGGGAGAAAUGGUAAGUACAUAGAUGUUAAAUGCCAGUAGAAGUAUCCAAUACAAAACCUAACAAUAAAUCUUAAUAGUUUUGAUGACUAACUUUUGAUUCAAAAUGUCAUAAAAAUGGCUCGUUUGCUAUGCUGGUCAAAUUUUUUGCAUUAGGCAAAGAAUAAUAAAUUACGAUCAUAAGUAUAGAUAUAAAGUUUAUCUGCCUUAAUCAUGAAAAUUGAAAAAAAUUCAUGACAGUUCUCUUUUUAACCAAAGAUAUUCAGAAUCAGGGGCAUUAAGCUUUUAGUCCUGCAAUCCAUGGUUUACCUUCAAUAGAUCAACAAAAAUUGCAGAAUGCUGCAAAUAUCCCUGUUUUAGCAUGUCUUCAGACCAUAAUCCUAGCCGAAACAAGUAAAGAAAAAGGGGGAAGGAGAGUGGAAGUGGACUUAACCAAAGAAAACCUGAGAUCAUAAUCCUAGCAAAUAUCCCUGUUCAUUCCUGGGAAAUGGGAUAUAAGGUAGAAUUUCCAAUUUCGAUAUCUGAAAUGCAAAAGCCAUAUUUGCCCAUGAAAAAGUUGAGAAAGCUGUGUUGAUCUGAUGAAACUGAACAUUAAUUUUUGCAUUCUACACAUGCCUUAGGCUCAGCAUGCCUAAUUCUAGCCACAUAAAAUCACAAAUUACAAUUGAAAUUGUCAGAUACUCCCAACUUUGAUGAGCUUUCCAAAUCUUCAAGCCUUUUAAAUCUAAUUUUUAGUGCUUAUGCAGUACCCAAUACAAGAAUACUAGAAUUGCUUUUGAUAUUUAAUCAAUUGUAGAUUUCUGCAUCUAUGCCUGGUAUAGAAUGAAGACAAAAGUAGCUCAUACAUUGGAAUUCAUACCUCAAUUUUGUCCAGCAUUGCCGGGUUUGAUCUACCGGUCCUAAUAGAAUUAAAACUCGAGCGAACUGUGUCAACAGUCUUUUCCAUUCUUUCUUUCUGAAAAUGAAAUCAAAUAUAGAAAGUUGACAAUUUUGUGGGGGAAUUGAGCAUCCUGAAGUCUUGCAUUACGCGCCUUUAGAAGUGGAGCAAAAAUUAAAGUGGUCUAUCCUUUUAUUUUCUGAGGACUUUAGAACUUUCUGCAAAAUUAUUAUGCAAAAAAAAAACCCAAAAAAGGCACUUACAACGUCUUCUUCAAUGAAAGAUUUCUCAGCUUCUAUUUCUUCUAUGGUUGCACACCUCAAAACUCGUCUGGAAAACACUCAAACCAGAGAUAAAAGGAACAAAAAAAGAUUAAAUCCCUAAACAAAGAAAGAAAAGAAAGAAAGCUAUAACUCUCAAAAAUGAAGACAAUCGACAACCCUACAUUGUUGAGAGAUCAAGCAGGCUUGAAAAAAAAAAGACCUACUGUGUAAAAACUAUCCAACCCACAAAAGAAAUAAAUUUCGGGAAUGAAGAUAAGGAAACAAGCGAGGAAAUCCCAAAAAAUUCCACUUGCCUCUUCUGCAAGAGGUGUUUAACAACAGGGGCUUUGCAGCAGAAGCUCUGAGCCUAACCUCAAGCUUGACAUAGUGGGAAGCCGCGCCGCAAGACACAUUUUUCGAACCUGAAAGAUGAGAAUCUGCAACUUCACUUCAACGCAGUAAAUAGUUAAAAUUCUCCAAGCAAUUUCUUGCAAAGAAAUAAAAGGACGAGGGAGGUUUAAAGGUAAACCUUGGGGAGGUUGCAGGGAAAGAAGAAUUUUGGGUUUCUGCUGAUAAAUGGACCCCAUGGGGGUUGAAGGGGAGAAAUUCAUAGCCAUUGCUGUCGAGAAAAGAAUAAUGGGGGUUUUUUUUUAUGAUUUUUGCUGCUUAUCAGAGUGCAGAAGAAAGAAAGACUCCAGUCAAGUGUGCAGAAAUAUGACGUGAAGAUAAGAAGACGGACGAAGCUGCAGCGGAAGAUAGGCGUUCGGGAAACGAGACAAAACGGAUUGAACAAAAGCGCGAGACGAAUGCUACGCUUCUUCGAUAAAAGCUUCGAAUACGAGCGCGUCUUAUGCAAUCAACACUGUAACCCUGUUCGGUCAAAACAGUUUGGUUUCUUUUGGGGUUGGGUUGAGUUGGUUUAAGCCCUCUGGUUCUGGGGGAUUUCGGCAUUUGAAAAAAAAAUAAUAAAGCUCCCAGUCUUUUGAGAAGUUUCUGGUCCAGAAAAUUUUGGGCUCGUGCUGAUCAAGUCCAUCUUAAGUCCAACAAUAGAUAGACGUUCCGAAUUUCUAAGUAACAUCCAUGUGAAUGUGGGUUUGCAAAGAAUUGAGUUUUGGGCUCCGCCCUCGGCCCUUGAUCCACAUCUUUGAGAAGGUUGGAGCUCUCUACCGGCUGCCACUGUUUUACCGAAAAUUUUUAAUUCUUAUCCUCUUGAAUUCCUCCUUAAUUUGUAAAAAGCUUUCGUCUAGUAACCGGAAAAAAAACAUAGCGACGGAUAGAACUUCUUCCUUUCCAGCACCAACAACCAAAAAAAAAAAAAAGAAAAAAAGAAAGGGAUUGGGCUUUAGACAGAUAGUAAUAUCAAUAAUAAUCUAUUAAGCAUAUAAUAUGAACAAGACUUUCAAUUCUGAACUAAAUACUGUACAAUAAUAUGACUCCCUAUUUAUAGACUCUGACUUGAUAAACAAGUCUUAAAUCACAAGAAAUUUUCUAAUAAGAUACUAAUUCCUAAAUAAUAAAACUAACAUAGCUUGAUUCCAAUAGAAUUACUAAAAUCCUAACUUGACUAAAACUUACUAAAUAACAAUAUAGAAAUUUUCUAAUUUUGAGUCUUGAUUUAAUAUGCCAACAGUAAUUCGUAUUGUUGACUGAUGAUCCUUGUAAAAGCACAAGGAACAAAUUAACAUGAUGGUUGUUAUGAUUAAGACAGAAAGAGAUUGAUUAGGUAGGGAUUAAUGGAAUCGUGUUGGACAGGCAUCAAGUGAUCAUCAUGCAUGAUGCGUUGCUGUGAGUGCUCCAAACGCUGUGGGGAUCCCGUAAGAAAAGAAAGUCCAUUGGAGACUGCGAGACGGAGGGUUUUAUAUAUACAUACCAUCACCAACACAGCCCUCUACCCAGAUGUUUUUUUUUUAUUUUUAUUUAUUAUUUUGCAUUAGUGCAUUGAAUUGAACCUUUAGUUAAUUUGCCUUCAACAACCAACGCCAUUAGUAGUUACCCAAACCCAUAUAUAAAAACAAAAUUGAUUGGCUUGGUUUGAAGUUGUCAUAAUAAUAAUAAUCAUGGAUUUUGGGAGAGAAGCAGUCGUGCUUGUCCUCACUGCUAUAACAAUGGCUGUUUUGGGGGCGGCUUCCACUGUUCACACGGUUGGUGAUAUUGGCGGUUGGAACUCAGACCGUGACGUGGAUUAUUACGAUUGGGCUGCUAGCAGGGAAUUUCAUAUUGGCGACAUUAUCCGUACGUAAGCUCAAUUAUCAGUUGAUGGUAAUCAUGUUGGGUUCUAUUUCCGGUUUAUUUUAGAUUGAUGCUGAUGAUAAGUAGCCGUCGAUGCCGUCAGUGAUUGAACAGUUCUUGAUAAAUUGCCUGUGUAGAUUUCAAGUACGAUCCAGGGUUUCAUAAUGUGGUGGAAGUGAGGCGGCGGACUACCACGCAUGCGAUGCAGCAAAUCCCAUAGCCACCUACUCGUCGCCGUCGGGAAUGACUACAUCAAGAUCGAGAGACACGGCCACUACUUCUUCAUCUGCGGCUGCGUUGAUCACUGCGCACUCACUAACCAGAAGGUUGAUAUCAGAGUCCCUAAAGACCUCGACGUGAUUAACUAAGCUCCUCCCUCUGAUUUACACUAAAAUCCUAACUUGACUAAAACUUACUAAAUAACAAUAUAGAAAUUUUCUAAUUUUGAGUCUUGAUUUAAUAUGCCAACAGUAAUUCGUAUUGUUGACUGAUGAUCCUUGUAAAAGCACAAGGAACAAAUUAACAUGAUGGUUGUUAUGAUUAAGACAGAAAGAGAUUGAUUAGGUAGGGAUUAAUGGAAUCGUGUUGGACAGGCAUCAAGUGAUCAUCAUGCAUGAUGCGUUGCUGUGAGUGCUCCAAACGCUGUGGGGAUCCCGUAAGAAAAGAAAGUCCAUUGGAGACUGCGAGACGGAGGGUUUUAUAUAUACAUACCAUCACCAACACAGCCCUCUACCCAGAUGUUUUUUUUUUAUUUUUAUUUAUUAUUUUGCAUUAGUGCAUUGAAUUGAACCUUUAGUUAAUUUGCCUUCAACAACCAACGCCAUUAGUAGUUACCCAAACCCAUAUAUAAAAACAAAAUUGAUUGGCUUGGUUUGAAGUUGUCAUAAUAAUAAUAAUCAUGGAUUUUGGGAGAGAAGCAGUCGUGCUUGUCCUCACUGCUAUAACAAUGGCUGUUUUGGGGGCGGCUUCCACUGUUCACACGGUUGGUGAUAUUGGCGGUUGGAACUCAGACCGUGACGUGGAUUAUUACGAUUGGGCUGCUAGCAGGGAAUUUCAUAUUGGCGACAUUAUCCGUACGUAAGCUCAAUUAUCAGUUGAUGGUAAUCAUGUUGGGUUCUAUUUCCGGUUUAUUUUAGAUUGAUGCUGAUGAUAAGUAGCCGUCGAUGCCGUCAGUGAUUGAACAGUUCUUGAUAAAUUGCCUGUGUAGAUUUCAAGUACGAUCCAGGGUUUCAUAAUGUGGUGGAAGUGAGGCGGGCGGACUACCACGCAUGCGAUGCAGCAAAUCCCAUAGCCACCUACUCGUCGCCGUCGGGGAAUGACUACAUCAAGAUCGAGAGACACGGCCACUACUUCUUCAUCUGCGGCUGCGUUGAUCACUGCGCACUCACUAACCAGAAGGUUGAUAUCAGAGUCCCUAAAGACCUCGACGUGAUUAACUAAGCUCCUCCCUCUGAUUUACACUCCUGCUGCUUAGUUAAUACUACGUACAACAGUUGCCAAUAAACAAAUGGGAUUAGGGCUAGGCUAUUUGAUUAUGAAUCUAUUGUGGUUGAUUUGAUCAUUACACAUCUUAAUCUCUUUCAUUUCCUGCUGUACUUCGAUCAUCUUCGAAUCAGCUGUUCAAUGUGGGCCUUUUUUAAACGCUGGACCUCAUACCCAUUUUCUGGGGUUAGAAUGAUGAUAUUCUUUUGAGAAUAUAUUGACAUUCAUUUUGUACGAAAUAUUUGAAUAAUAAAAAAUGAAUCAAAAUUUAUUGUGAUUAAUCAAAUGGCAAAAAAUUUGCUUAACUUCUUAUGAAAUUUUAUGUAUAAUGUACACAAGUGACGAAAUAUAUAUAUUAUGAACGGCAUGCAGACAUUGGAUAUAUUCCAAAAAAAACAAUUUUUAAAUUAAUUUUAUUAAGGUAUAAUGGAGAGAAACAUUUUGUAAGCUUCAUCUUAUAGCCAAAGACUGUUGUAUAGACUAGUGGCAGUUGUAGUGAAAAACAUUUUGUCUUUUUAGUGAAAAUUAGUAGUAUUACUUUUAUAUAUCACUAUUAAUUACUUCUCUCAUCUUUGCUAUGACCCGAGGCUGAAGCCUAAUUGCUUCUCUGAUCGUGCUGUGCUAAUGGUUAACGAGUGAAACCUUUCCUAAAUGAUUUUGCCAGUCAUAAAUUUCGAUAGAAUUUUUUAACCUGCAUGCAAAAUUCAUGCAAUAACUGUUUUACUGGCUAAAUAUUUAGCCGACCCCUCGGGCUAGGUUCUCAAAAAAAAAUAAAAAAAAGUUACCCGAGUUUGCUAAAAAUCUUAAAAAAUAAUUUGACGCUAGGCAAAAUUUCCUAAUCGAUCGUUUAACCUGAGUUCCUUCCUCCACAAGAAUUUGACGCUAGGCACCAGCUACGUACAUUCGAGGAAACCUGUCGAGAGAUUUCAAAUCUCGAUCGAUCAUGCCCUGAAUGAAUUUAUGGCAAGAGAAUCAUUGAUUUAAAGAUUUGCGGGUAUAUAUGACGGGGAUACACUGAACUGGAAAUCUUCAAUCAAAUCUUUUUUAUUUCCAUUCUUGAGCCGUUUAGCUUUCUCAUAUAUAUGACAGACGACAUCUUAAAUUAAACCUCCUCUAUCGCUAAUACAUCCACACAUACACUCUGCAGUGGUUUAGGUGAUUAGCCAUGGUUUUCGCCAAGAAAACCCUUUUUCUUUCCUUCUUGUUGAUGGUAAGUAGUAGUGUUUGUCAGAAGUCGAAGGCUCAUGUGUACACGGUUGGUGAUGCUGCUGGCUGGACGAAUAUUGGCCGCGUUGACUACAAAACUUGGGCCGCUACAAAGAUUUUCCAUGUUGGGGACAUCAUCUGUAAGCCAUUCGUUUUUAAUCAGUAUUCGUCGUCAUUCCUUGUUCUUGUCGUCGCUGUCUAUUUGGGUGGUAGUUUCAUCAAGUUAAUGGACUUCGGUGUUACUUCAAUAUUGCUGUCCUCUUCCUUAUCUUUUUUCCCUGGUCUUGAGAAUUAAAAUAACAGUAGGGCCAAAUCUCUCAGUAUGAUCUACUGCUAGAUAGAGAGUAUGAGAACUAGCUUGAUUCAGUUAAAGCUGAAGGAUUUUAAUCAACGUUUCUUGAAUACUUCAACAACUAUUUUAGGGUGUCCUCAGAAACAGAAUCCUAUUAAAGAAUCAGAAUACAUUAUAGAAAUCCUACCUGGCCCGUUGCAGAUUGGAGAUCCGAGUUCAGUCGUUCGAAGAUAAUUGCUCCAAGCAAUUGUCAGCGAACAUUGGAUAUUUGUCUGAUCGAUGGUUAAAGAAUAUUCAGAUUUGAUUACCAAACUUCUUCGUGAUAUAGUAUCAAGGUUUUGAUCUUUGUCACAAGAUAUUUCUGCCUUAGGAAUUAAUUAUGACAUGCGAUAAAGCUUUUUUUUUCUUUUUCUUUUUUGUUAAUGAAAAACAAUAAAGCUUUUAGUCUAUAGUCUGUCUGUUGGAAACUUCACUAAAUAGAGAGAUGCAUGGUCGCAGGUGUGCAUCACGAAACGCCAUGUGUGUGGGUAUAUGUGUAUGUAUAGUUUAGGGUUGGAACAAAGUUACAGAUUUAAGCAUUGGAAUAUUCAUUUUUCCCAAGAUCCAAUAGAGAGGAAUUAAUUUUCAAUUGGAUGAAACUGUUGACCCGACUAAAUUCACAUAUUUACCGCUCAUCCAUAGGGUAGCAUACAAUACAAUUCUUUUUGCAUUUACGUGAUUGAUGUAAUGAGCUUUCAAAAGAACGUAAGUUGAAGUUCCAAAUGAUGAUAGAUAGUAGUAUUAAUUAAUUUGUUUUUGUUUUGCAGUGUUUGAAUACAACAAACAGUUUCACAACGUGGUACGAGUGACUCACAAGAAUUUCAACUCAUGUAAUUCCACCGAUGCUUAUGCAACCUGGGUCUCCGGCAAUGAUUCAUUCCUCAUUCAGAGGCCCGGCCACUAUUACUUCAUCUGCAGCCUUACGGGUCACUGUCAAUCUGGACAGAAAGUUGAUAUUAGGGUCCCCGGAGCUGGAGCUCACUCACCCUCUCCCGCCCCGGCACCUAUCCCCACUCCUUCCGUCCCACCCCCGCCCUCAACAUUCCAUCCUCCACCGCCGCCCUCGACAUUGCCGCCUCCGCCACCCUCAGUGUUGCCUUCUCCGCCCUCGACUUCGCCUGGAAGCGCUUCUCCUGCUCCGGCUCCCAGUAGCGCUUCGGCCUUUUAUUCACCCAGGGGGCUGCAGAUGAAGGCUCAUUUCUGGUUGUCUACUCUGGUACUGGCGGCAGUGCUUAAUGGAUUCGUUGGUUAGAAGACAAAUUGCACCUUUAAAAUCCCUCGCUUUUUAUUAGAAUUGGUGUCGUGGUUCUUUAUUCAUCUAGUACAACUUAGUGUGGCAAUUCUCCUAAAGCAUUUCCUCCAACAAAGUUCCGAAGUUUUCCCUUUGCAAUUUAAGCGAGCUCUUAAACAUAUCAUACGUAUCAUGAUUCGAAUGACUAGCGACAAAGAGACGGCUACUUUUUAACUUUUUUGGCUAAUAUAAUCAUAAAAAUAUCGCAGCGCUAUAAUAUGUAAAGAGGAAACUACACGUAUUUAAGAGUUUUUUCUAAAACCAAAAAAUAGUUUUUUUUUCCCCUCCUAUUUUGGUGUUUCUUGGGUUUCUGCAAAUGGAGGCUUUUGCUUGAUGGACUCUUCAGGUCAUGUCCCCUGUUUUCAGGGCUUCAAAACAAUGGGUUGAGUGUUGGCCCAUGAUCUGUUACUCACAGAUGCGUGUGUAGACCGGGUUAAGUUCUAAGGACGAAACAUCAGUCCUCAGCAUCAACACCUUGGGCUUGCGCAAUACACAGCUGGCCCAAAUUUAGAUUGGGGAGGAUCGACCGUACCCCGCCCAUACUCAUGCAUUUGGAAUGCAGAAUUUGUAUGAAUUUAUUAAAUAAUUUAUGUUAAAUCUAAAAUCUAAAUAUAAAAACCCCAAAAUCAUUGUUGUCUAAAGAGAGAAAUAUAAUGAAAUUUGUGCUUGGCAAAGAGCAAGUAGUAAUGUGAGGUAAUUGAUAGAGUUUUUUUUUUUUUUUUUCCUCUUACGAUUACGAACUGGAUGUAUGCUGCAUGAUUUCUAUUAUCAUGUUAAAAGAAAUGGUACUAACAAUAAUGCAAAAUAAUCUUUUAAAAGGCCGGUUGGUUGGUGCUGAUGUUGAAAGUUUGUCAUGGGAUCCACAUGCUGAGCACUCGUUCGUUCGCGGCUGUGCUUCUAUCAAUUCCUGUUUGACUCAAUCCAAAUUGUCUACAUUGAUUGAAGCACAACAACGUCAAGUCACUUCUGGGAAUUGUCCCGCACAUCCCUGUGAGACCGUGUCUUACUUCUCUGUUUUUGUCUUCAUAUUCAGGUCUGUCUUGACAAUGGAAUGGUUUCUGGUUUUGAUAUUCGCGCUUCUAGUUCAAAGCUCUCUUUUGAUCCAAAGGCAAGCUUCGCCCUAUAACAUUAUAUUUGCAGUUAUGGGAGACACGAUCCGAUGCUGCAGUCUCCAAGAAAUAUGGAAAGUACAAGAAGCAGAAUAGAUCAGCCCGAUCGUGAGAGUUAAAGAGGAUUGUGGAUUUGACAUUUAAGGCACAAAAAAGUUGCGGCAGAUAGGUGCUGGCUGAUUACGGCAGCUCUAUUUCAUGAUCCAAUUUGAAUACCAGGAGGAACGAUGAGCAGAAGUCAGCACGCAUGCAGACGGGUAAACAAGAGAUUUUUCUGGAUCGUUCAUCCGACACUUCAAAACCAUAACCGCGCGUUGAGCUGUUAACAAAGCUUGGGCUGUCAUUGGCUUAAAGAUGGGAAACGGUUGGAGGAAAUUUUGAGGCAUCAUUCUGUCUCAUAUUAUGUGUUUUAGAUUUGGAGAAGUCAGGAAUUAAAUGUUGUACUUCUUGUUUCGGAUUCCUUGCAUGUAGAUGAUGGAUGCAAUUUUGAAUGAUGGAUAUGUUACAUUCAUGUAGGGGGAAUAUCAGUUGUGGGUGCGCUAAGAACCCUUUAACUGUCAAAUAACGUAUACUCCUAACAUAUUAUGAAAGUUUCAUGCAGGAAUUGGCAGCUGAGCGCGGAGGAACACAAAAAUGGGUAUGAUUGAAGCAGUGUAAAAUUGUGAUCAUCCGACCUAAUUGGCCUGUUUGCUCGCAUCACAUUUCAUGAAAAAUAUCCCAAGUCGAUCCCUUUUGGUACCAUAACGAUACUUUGAUUGUUUCUGUAGUGUAGUGUUAGCUUGCGUAAAGGGAAGAAUAAGAAAAGGGAAAACUCCUUUGUACUUAGGUCGUGUCUUUGUUGCUUGUGGACGUUCUUCUACCGCUUUGAGAGUUUAGAGCAGAGAUGAAAUAGAUAUGCCGCGGUGCAAGUUAAUUUUCUAAAUUUCUAUGAUAGCCCCCGACUUAUUUCAUACACUUUAUUCGAUUACGAGUUAGGUAAUGUAUGUAUAAUAAGUGUCUAGCAAGAAUAGGCAGAUAAAUUCUCCAUGUGUAUUGAAGUUAUAAUAAUAAAAAAAAAAUCCCGAAAUUGACAUGCAAGCAAAGGUGAGUUCAAAAUUUGAUUUUCUGGUAUAACAUUAGAAUUAAUAUUUCCUAUACUGACAGUGUAUAGCAUUGGAUUAAUGACAACUAUGCAAAAUUUGAAUUUGAAAUUCAAUUUUUUUGUACACAUGUCAUGAAUCCAACGAUGAUACUUAAUUUAGUUUGUUUGGAUAUAUUAUUUGAAAUAUUAUUUGGAAUAAUUACUGUAGUACUUUUUAUGAUGUGAUGUAUGUGAGAUAAAAAGGUAAUUGGAAAUAUAAAAAGGUGGGUUGGGAAAUGUGUUUAUGAUGCCAGCGAAAUAUUAUUUGAGAUAUUUGUGCUAUCCAAACACUCCCAAUAUAUAUACACUGUCAAUGUAUAUAAGAUUUACUCAUAGCAUUAUUGAUUCUUCUUUCUUCUCAAAUCUUUGUUUCUUUUUUUUUCCUUUUUAUGGAGGUAGCCAUUUGAAAUUACACAUCGAAAUACCGGAAUGAAGGAAAUUACUGGCUCGAUUUUUAAGGAUUUUUUUUUGGAAACAUGAUUUUAAAAAAUUAAAACUGUGUUUUCCAACAAAUAAAAUUUUUUUAAUCUCAGAAACAUAUUUACAAAAUUAAAAAAAUGAUGGAAAAAAUUUCGAUCUAAACGGGCUGUGUUCUUGAGGAAUACAUUAGUGCUUUGUUAGUGGUUGACACGCCAUCCGUGAUUGAGCAAACGUAGGAUAAGUCGAGCAUUUGUUUGAGGAACGAUUUUUAUUUUUAUUUUUGGUUUUACAAAAUAAAAAGAUUACUAGGAGGCAGACAGACACAGGCCGACACCCUAGAAACAAAUAAGGAAGCUGGCAAAAAUUAAAAAAGAAGUAAAGUACAAGAAAAAGACAGAGAGUUAUAGACAGUAAUAUUCACGAGAAACCAAGGUUGAAUCCGGCCAAAAAGCCGUGGUCGCCGGAUUCCUAGAAUCCGAUGAGCAACGAGCGCCGUCGCACGUGCACCAAUUGCGCUCUCCAACUUACUUACUUACGGGAAUUGUUAAAAAAUAAUAAUAAAGAAAAAUGAGCACAGAAAAUGAAACAAAGUCAACUGCGAAGAAGUUAAUGCGAUAGAGUAAAUCACAGUACCACAUGAAUUAUGAAAUGUAGGGAGAUUCCAAGUCUAAACACUGAGCAACAACGCAUCCUGAUUUAAAAAAAAAAAAAAAAAAAAAAAAGCACUCUGGUAUACCUCUACCGUUACUUUUUUUUUUUUUUUUAUCGAUACGAUAGAAUUUCUAUAACCUAAACUAGCCUAUUCUAGAGGGGAAGGGGAUGGGACUCGAUGUGAGUAGAAACUCCAUCGAAACUGGUCAAUGAAGACCGUCACAUAUUGUGAUAAAUUUUGUGGGAGGCAAGGUUCGAACCUUUGACCUCCCGCACCACCAAGCCUAAGAAGGCUUGGGAUGACCACUGGACCAAAGCCCAAUGGCACCUCUACCGGUUACAGAAAGGUAAAAGAUAAGAAUAGCAGGACGCAGUAACUCCCCCUCCCGGGUACAAUAACCAACCAUGCAGGUAGCAACGGUCUGUCUAUGAGCCUUUAGGGUCAUGAAACUGGAGUGAGUUUUACUUUAGAAAGUAAUCGGGUGGACAGUAAAAAAAUUUCAGCUGAAUUCAACUACAAUUGAGCCUACUGAAGUUUCUAAUUCUUUUCAAGUUAAAUAGUUACUGCCGGUACAGUUGAGUUUUAUAUCUUUUUUUUUUGUUAGUCUAAUAGCAAAUUCCAGUCCUUACAAAGGAGACGGAGGAAAAGGGUGGAUUUGAAAAUCCUAAUUAGGGAAACUACUAAGGUUGUGUUUGAAUUGCAAUUUUCUGGAGUUUUUGUAGAAAAUAUAUUAUAAUAAUCUGAUAUAUGUAAAGUAAAAAAGUGAUUAAAAAAUGAGUUCACGAAAAAUGUAAAGGAUUUUUUAACAAAAAAUCCCUUUUUCUGCCAACUAAGUAAGAUAUUAGAAACUUGAAUUUUACACUUAAUAUAGGAGUAAAAAUCAUCAAGACUGGGGAUGAUGGAUCAUUCAGAGCAUAAUUUUCAGUUUUCAAUUUUCAUAGCAGCGAGUAAAUAAAAAAAUGCUAUACCAUCCCCUGCUGGAGUAGUCAGCAGCCACACGCACUCGCACCCGCAGAGAAUUUAGUGUGCCUUCCCACCAUUUUUACUUAGUCGAACAAAAAGGAAAUAUGUUUCGCUACGUAAAUAGUAGCAACAUAGCAUGGAGAGCAGACUGGCAGUAGCAGUAGCCAGUAGCACGACAGAAAGGUUCAUGAAAAAAAAACCAAAAAAGUACUUAUGAUAUUAGUUGUAGUCCGGAGACUAUAGCUAGGAGUAGCAAAUAUUAACCGCAGCAUUCCCCGGCCCUUUCCAGUUUCCCCACGCUAUUUACUACUUUCCAGUCUCCAGUCCCAAUCCCAAUAGUUCUUCUCCCUCCUCCUCCUCCGUCCUGAAUUGUCAGGAGAUUUAAAAAAAAAAAAAAAAGGAAAGAAAGAAAAAACCAGACCAGAGUAUGUAAUGCACACUGGACACCAUUAAAUGAAACAUUUCAGGGUCAGUAGCAUUGCGUGAUCUUUCGUUCCUUCACGGAUUUCUCCUUCUCCUUUGCUGUCUCUCUCUCUUUCUGUUUCCCUGCCACAACUCCCCAGUCCGCAUGCACUUCCUCCUCCUCCGCAUGACUCAUCACUCAAAUAUCUAACCCUACUCUACUCUUAGUCUACUACUAUUCUACUUCACUCCCACCCACCACCGCAAACUCCUGCCAGUCUAAGUCUACUCCAUUUUCUCCAACUUUCUCUACGCUACUUGUGAUUAGUAAGUAGUUCAAACUGCGAAGAGAAACGACCAAUGGAAGGAGGGUUGGAGCUGAGUAAAGUGACGCUGGAAAUCUUCUCCAAGCUCGAGCAGCAGUGGUUGCAUCACUGCCAACCCCACAAGAAGACUCGCAUUCUCUGUAUCGAUGGCGGCGGUGUCGGCUCCCCCACCGCCAUCUUCGCCGCUCAUUCCUUGAUCCUUCUUGAAGACCAGAUCCGUGCCAAAUCCGCUGACUCCCAAUCUCGCAUUGCCGAUUUCUUCGAUCUUAUCGCCGGCACUGGCAUUGGAGCUCUCUACGCCGCAAUGCUCGCUGCCGACGACGGUUAUGGACGUCCUUUGUUCACCGCCAGGGACGCCGUCAACUUCGUCGCCCAAAACCAGUCCCGCCUCUUCAAAGUCAAGGCCACCCUCGGAGUCUUCCGCCGCCGACAGAGGUUCUCUGGCAGGAGCAUGGAUAUGGUGUUGAAGGAGGCGUUCCGGAGGGAGGACGGCAAGGUCCUGACCUUGAAGGACACGUGCAAGCCUCUCCUGGUUCCCUGUUUUGACCUGAACAGCUCCGCGCCAUUCGUUUUCUCUCGCGCCGGCGCUUCCGAGUCCCCCAGUUACGACUUCGAGUUGUGGAAGGUCUGUCGUGCCACGUCAGCCACCCCCUCCCUCUUCAAGCCUUUCCAUCUGCAAUCAGUCGACGGCAAAACCUCUUGCUUGGCGGUGGACGGCGGUCUCGUCAUGAACAAUCCCGCGGCCGCCGCCGUCACUCACGUCCUGCAUAACAAACGUGAUUUCCCCUCCGUCACCGGCGUCGAUGACCUGCUGGUGCUUUCCCUGGGCAAUGGUCCGUCAAGCUUGAAACUCCGCGCUAACGGUGAUUGCUCAACGUCAUCAGUCGUCAGCAUUGUUCUUGAUGGCGUCUCCGAAACGGUAGACCAAAUGCUUGGAAACGCCUUCUGCUGGAACCGUAACGAUUACGUCAGAAUCCAGGUACGGUUUCCACUAAUUAUCUUAACAUGUUAAUUAUACAUCACUAAAACCCCCCCUUCCCCCCUUUCUUUCUCCACAAAAAAACAAAAAAAAAAAAACCAGAAAACCGAAUGUGGUCGGGGAGUUAACUAGUCAGUUAUUGACAGUUAGUAAAAUUUGCAGGCGAACGGUUGCGUGAGUGGAGGAGUGGGGGAGAAAGAGGAGGAUGUGAUGGAAGAGAGAGGCGUGGAAUCAUUACCGUUUGGCGGGAAACGGUUGCUGACGGAGACUAACGGACAGAGGAUAGCGGGGUUUGUUCAACGGCUUGUUGCAUCGGGGAGGACUAGCCUGCCGCCGAGUCCGUGCAAGGAAACUGCCGUUAGUCCUCUGGCUAACGGCCGUUAGAUUUAUUUAUUUAUUUUUGCCCUUUUGGUGCUUUAAACUUUUUGGGGUUAAAGUAGAAUAUCUUGUUUUGGUGUAGCUUUUUGAUUGGACUAGCAGCAGUAACAUAAUUAACUCUUCUAGUUUUGUUUCCUUGUCAACUUUACAUGAACUGGCUGUUUUAUGGAGAUUAACGCCUCUAGGAAAUGCAAUUAACAAGUUCCGAGUAUUUAGCUAUUGCUAUUGUUUGGACGUAUUAGUAGUAGUGGUGCUGUAGUUAGUAGCUAAAUAAAAAAGUCCAGCAAUUCUCUCGGUUGCCCUUAGCCUUUUGUAUACUCCAAUCCAUAUGGUGGUAAAAACCCAUUCCUUCGCUGCAGAUUUGAUCCUUGCUGAAUUGGGAGUGGUACGCAUUCUUACGAUGUCAUAUCACUCCCUUCUCGUAACAAAUCGAACAGACAAUGAGUAUUGUUAAAAUUUUUUAGUAUUGUCAAGUGAUGGGUGAGAAGAAGUGCUUGUAUCCUUAAACUUUGACUUUUCUUUAUUCGGGAGUAUUAUUGGGCUUUUUUUAUGCAUAUGCGAGAAAAUAAAAAAAAUUUGCGAGGAGUUGCUGAGAAUGAAAUAAUGUAGGGCUGAUAUUGGCACAUCCAAACUUUUCAAUGGCAUCCCCUGUGCCUCUUCUUUUUGAUCUUAUCAGAAGACAAAUCUGUCAUGAUAUCUCAUUCCAAUCUACAUUACACCAGACCAUGGGCAUGGUUACCUAUUGAUUGCAGUUGUAAAGUAUGGUACUUGUAUCAUUUGACAUGAUUUAGAAAAUGUCUAAGAAAGCGCCGCAUUGGGAGUGCCAAAAGAAUUCUGUACACUUAUUUAAGAAUCAUGAGCUGUGAAGAUGAGGCGGAGGAUAAAUCGCACUGGCUACUGUUUUUUUUUUUUUUUUGGCAUUGAUUUCUGGUGUCGUCGCGUUACACUUGCUCAAAAGGCAGAGAAAUGUACCAGUCACCAUAAUUCUUCACGAAAUGGAUAAGGGCCGGAGGGAAAAAGGUCGGUGCAAAAAGUACCAUUGCUGUAGUCCUGAAUGGGGGAGCUCCACGUAACACCUUCCCCGGCAAACCUCCUUAACAGCAUUGACGUGCACUGGCACGAAUUAGGAAACUUAAAAUAGCGCUGAGAUAAUACGCUGCAGCCUAAUUAUAUAUAUCCAAUUGUAAUCAACAGUUUUUUUUUUUUGUUUGCAAUUACGUUAUUUCAGUUUUUGCUGUGGCCAAUUGUACGGCAUUCCUUGUUUGUGAAUUUGAAUUUGCUUCCAGCCUUCACCUGCCUUUGGUAGGUAAGUUCGGUGGGGUGAGGGGAACCGGUACCACUUGGUACUUGGCUGCUUUGCAGCUGGUGUUGCCACGAGCCUCACUGACCCUACCCCUACCCUCUCCAUCAACAAAAAACAGUCAAUUCUUUUCCCUCUUUCCUCUCAUUUAUGCUCCCAGCUGAUUAAUUUGCACAAUAUGAUUCUAGAGAGAGAGAGAGAGAGAGACAAGUAAUUUGUUGUGCGUUCGGUGGAAAGAAUAUGGGAUUUUUUUUUUUUUUAUCCGAUGCUAAGUAGACGUUUCACAACGCUGAGUAAGACAAGAAUUACGGUUAAGACAAAAUGUUUGGCGAGAGGGGUAAGUUUGGAACUAGCUAGCUUAGCUCAGCCAACCUGGCUGAUGUGGACUCGCCGGCUAGGAUUAUUAACCAAGUAGCUCGCCAUUGUUAUCGUAGCAUUAAUUACUGGCCCUCCGCGGAAUUUGUGCAGUGGGGACCUUCAGCUCCACAUAUAGAAAAUUUUGGAAUUUCAUUUACUACCAGUAAUUUUGUUUUGGAUUUUAGGGUAGUGAUCAGAAUUGAUAGCGCAAUUAAUGCUGCAAUGCAUUAAACAACAUGCUUUUGCCAUUUCCAAGCUGACCUAUAUUGCUCAAUAUAUAUGACCGCCUUAAUUGCCGGGCAAAAAUCACAAGCAAAACUCCCGUAGAAGCUAACAAAAUUGUCUUUCACGUUGAGCAUUGUGCAGUUACGUGACAUAUAACCACGACACUGAAGCCCGUUUGCAUCGCUAUAUUCUGACAUUUUUUACACCCCCUCUUUGGAGGUCAAUUGUGUAUUUGUCCACCUCGACACCGUCUUAGGGAAUGAUCCGUGGUAGUGCUUGGAGGGGGCCUCCCCAGGAUUCGAUCCCUGGUCCCUUGUAUAAGGGGUCUUGGGGAUGGCACCUGGUACCACUUGAGCUAUCUAAGACGGUCUUAGGGAAUGAUCCGUGGUAGUGCUUGGAGGGGGCCUCCCCAGGAUUCGAUCCCUGGUCCCUUGUAUAAGGGGUCUUGGGGAUGGCACCUGGUACCACUUGAGCUAUCUAAGACGGUGCCGAGGUGGACAAAUACACAAUUGGCCUCCACACCCUCAUCCCCCCCAACAAAAAAAAGAGUAAUGUACCUAACGAAUCAAGUCGCUUGCAAGUGUUCAUGAUUCAACUCGGUCAAAACUUCAAUUCAGUUCGAGCCAAUUAAGUUGAGAUUGAACUCAAACUCAAGCACAAAGAAAUUGAGCUCGUUAGCCUUGCAAAUCAUUCGAUUUUAUGUAUGCGUGUGUGUAUAUAUUAUUUUAAUAGUAAAAUUAUAUAUAUAUUCUUAAUAUUUUAUUUUUUUAAAAAAAUUAUUAUUUUAUUUAUUUUUAAAAGAUAAAAUAAUUAUUUUUUAUUCUUUUAAACUUUAGUAGACUAAAACUCGAGUUGGAACUCCACUUAACUUGAAUUUGAGAUCGAACUCGAGUUUUAACGUUAUAUUGACAGUUCGUCGAAAUUGAUAAAAUUAAGUCGAGACUCGACUCAACUCGAUUAGAUAAAAAUUUAAUUCGAUUUGACUCGUUUACAACUCUAGCUGUAGUGAUUUGUUGUAUAUAAAGUAAAAAGAUAAUUAGAAAAUAUAUUUACGAAAGAUGUAAACAAUUUUUGAAAAAUAAAAUUACGAUCCAAACAAGGUUUAAUUUCUUCAGUUGCCAAUACGAUCGUUGGCAUGCGAACACACAACACCGAGUAAUUCACUGUAAACGUUUUAGAUGAGACCAUAGACUAGAAAACCAUUUGAUUUCACCCGCAUGCAUAUUCAUUGCCGCUUUAGAUGGAUGAUGUCGGGAACUAUAUAAGGUACUGGAGUUUUUUCCUAUGUUUUCUUGUAGCUUAUCACCUACAGAAAUUCUACCCGUCGUCGCCAGACUAGUGUUUACUCUUAUGCGAUUGCAUACACUCUGGAAGUUCUCUGCUGACUACUUAUUAUUUCUAAAGAUCAGCACGAACAACUGCACCACGUUUUUGUUCUUCUAUUUUUUUGAGAUCGCACCUGAUCAUGUACUAUCUCUGUUUUUAAUUCUAUUCAGUCACCAAUGUGGAACCCAAUAAUUUAGAUGUUCUGAGUUCCAAUCUAUAUAUAUAUUUUCACAUUUUCCUCCGAAACUUGAAGAUUAUGGCAAAGGGGGAAAAAAUAUCGAGUCAAAUCACAAAAUGCAUGAUUUCUGCCACUUGCUUGGAAGGAUGUUCUCGUCAUUUACUAAUACUAAUAAAAGAAUCGCAAUUUGAAGUGAAAAUUUCACAAAAGAGACGGAUUAAAUUUCGCACAAGAAGAGAAGGUUAAAAAUGAGAGCUUAUCAGCUAAUGUUUGGCCAUAAUUCAACAGACGGAUUAGCUAGGCUAGCUAGACUAGCUGUUUUAGGUGAUUUUAUUUUUUUAUUUUUGGUCAGAAUCUAUAUUUUUUUUUAUGACAACAAUAACAUUUGUAUAACAUAAUCCACAGGGGAGGAGAACUUAAAGAGGCUGAGGUUAAAAUCUGAUUGACUUGCUCUAAUUUGCAACUUUCUUGGCCUGUUGUACAGGGUGAUUGGAUUGGAACUUGGAAGAUUUUUUUUUUUAAAAAAAAAACAACACCUGAACCCGACAAGAUCUAUAGAUAUGGAACUUGGUCAGUACAUCUGGGGUUUUAUAUAAUUAUAAUCGGGCUACCCAACGUUUAGUGUAGCGCAAAUUAAAAUAAACCAGUACUGACCCUCAAAAAGAAGGAAAAAAAAAAAAAAAAAAAAGUAAACUAGUCCUGUUUAAAAAGAAGCCCUCUUGGAGUUAGCCAGAAUUGUGUCUGUUUCAUUUAUGGGCUUACAGAAUCUACAUAGAAAAAAUCAAUCAUCAUACAGUCACACUCUGCGCCGGUGUCCAUAUUAUGUCUCAGCCAGAUUUUGGCAGGAACCCAUCAAUAAUUUGUUGAAUUGCUGGGGAUUUUCUCUCUUUCAUAACAACACAUUUGGAGGACUGCAGGCUACAUCGACCUCCGACCAGAGGAGAGAAAAGGAAAGAAUACGCGUCAGACGAUGCAGCAGCUUAGGUUAUGGUCCUCAAUCAGUUGGAAUGUUUGUAUACGUUGAUGGAUUAGUAGAACUAAUGGAGUGACUUCAGUUGUUGUCUUGGGAAGGAUCUUUGGUAUUUUCAAGUAGUUAAAUCUUUCUCUGCUUGACCAGACUGAAUGAAACAACCAUGCAUCUGCAUUUUACUGCUUGGGAAUUCAGCACGUGAAACCGAAUAGACAUGGAGAUUAUAUCCUGUUUCCAAAAAAAAAAAAAAAAAAAUCCUAACAACUAAGACGUUGUUUGAAAAUUUUCAUCGACACAUCUUUUAAUCAACAUUUUAUCUUACAUAAAUCGCAUUCUUAUAAUAUAUUUUUGUAUAAAAACUUCAAAAGUUUACGAUCCAAACAAGUCCUAAAGAUGGUAUUAAAUGUGGGAUUGCAUCUAUGAGUAAAGAUUGUAAAGGGAAAGCUUUGAUUAGGUUCUUAUUUCAAGUUAAUAGGCUUUUUUCCCCUUUCCGUGAUGGCCUCUUAUCAUUACUUAUUUUUAGGUGGUCUUAUCCUUCUUUUACGAAGGCCUCAGGAACCCUCUUACGGUAAAACGACACUUUUUCAACCCCUACCUGCAAUACUGGCUCGAUAUGUUUGGUGAUUAGUACUACACAAAAGAAUAAAGCAAUUGACUGUGGUCUGAAACUUCCCCACGAUGUUGACUCUAAAUUCUAGUACAAGGUAGGUUUAGAAGAGAGCAAUUGAACAAUCGGGUCUUGAUCCAGUGGCCAGAGAGAGAUACUCUUUAAAACUCUCCCAUACAUUGGAUUAGAGGUUCAAGUUCCGCCCAGUGCAUCACAAGAAAUCACGGUGCUUCCUUGUUCUUAAAGAAAAAAAGAAUGCAGAGAGUGCAAUAGGAAUCUCCAACAGUUGUGUAAGUUAGUGUAAAAGUAGAAUAAAUAGUUGCUGUCGUCCCAAAAAACAGAAAAAGCAAAAGAAGAUGAAGAGAGUGAUAGGCUCUUUCUACUGCUGUGGCAUGCUAAUUUCGUUUCCAGAUCAUAAUCGCAUUAGCAAGAAGGAAAUGAAAGUAAUUACGUAAUAAUGGAGUAAAUGAAAUGUGACUUCAAGACUACUGGCUAGUGGGAAGUCAUAUUGGUCGAGCAGUGACCAGAUACAUAAUCGAAAGUCCAUUGCCGUGAAGCUUUACUCAAGUAACAGCUAAUCCAAAAUUGAAGCGUAUUCAUUAAGGUGGGUAAAGCAAAAGAAGACAAGAACCAAUUUGAUUUAGACUCGAGUGAUUCUCCCAGGAAUCGACCCACUCCCACCAAACCAAUUCGCAUUUCACAACUUUUUUAGCCUUUAAUCCAAUAACAAGCGAACAACAACGGCGGCAAUGGCAUAUAAAAAUCCUUUUCGCUUUAGCCAUACUCGAAUCAUCAUGACUGACGACCGUGAACUAUGUUAUACACAAAUUAAUCCCCCUUAUUUUGUAUUAUUAGAACAUACACAUUCUCACACGAAAAGCAUGUCUGAAACAUUGGUUACCUAAUAAUUGAUCAGCUUUCAGCAGGCAAAAGCGUAACGUAUGAUAUUGAGACUUGCUAAGCUUACCAAACAGAGGAGUACAUACAACAGCAGUUUUGCAGUGAUGUGUACUCUUCUUUUGAUAAUCCGAAGAACAAUAAUUUGGUUUGUUUGGAUUGUGUUUUAUUUCCCCAAUUUUAUCUGCUUACAUCAUCGUUACAAUUUCUAAUACACCUUUUUAUCUUCCCAAUUACCUUUUUAUCUCACACACAUCACAUCACAAAAAGUGCUACAGUAAAAAUAUUCCAAAUAAAACACAAUCCAAACAAAUAUACAAUUGCACGGAGAUCCGGUUCCUUAUCACGACUCGAGCCAAAAACUAUUAUAGAUCUUGGAAGAAUUUGUUGCAAAUAAAGGAGUAUUUCAAAAGAUCUUGUCCCACGUUGAAAAAUCAAAGAGACUUCUCGUCAUUUUAUAAUGCUUAGUUUUUAUUUGGAUUUGUAUUAAAUUGGCAACUAGUGUGGAACCUUUCUGGCAACUCUCUUCUUCUUCUUCCACUCUCUGUUGGAUUUACGCAACAUUUGCUAGUUCUGAUCCUUUCUGUUUAUAACAAGAAGAAGGUUUGUUUAAUGCUAGAGAAACAUUUCAACCUCCUGAAAUAGUUUUAUAGGACAGUGCUAUUAAACACGACACAAGUUUCAUUUUAUUAGCUUUAGUUAACAUUGUUUUGGCUACUUCUCCUACAGAAGUUACCAAAGUAAAAGAAACAACAAAUGUAACUGUGGUCUAAGCUGCUCUUCUUGGCCUGCACUUUUAUUUGUUCUUGGUCCACCAGAAUACAAUUAAAACUUUCUAAGCUACUAUUGCAUUUGAUCAUCGUAUUAAUUUGAAGUUGUAGGGGUGAUCUGCUCACUGUCAUUUGUCAAGCAUAUACCCAAGCUACAGCCUGCAAACAAAGCAAAUGUCGAUCUAUAUUCAGCAACUCCGAGCCUUUAAUCGCAUAAUGGUAUGUGUCAACAACUGUAGUACAAGGGUACAGAUUUGCCGCCUGAAUACAUGCCCUUAUAGUAAACUGUAGUAAAAGCUUUACGUUAUUAUUGUCUCCUAGCAUUUAGAAGUAGUCGCUUUUUUGUUCAGCUGUAUUGGACAACGGAUUCUUUUCUUUCUUGGGCACGAACAAUUUAUUAUUCUUGUCAUUGAUUUAGUCGAUUUACUGGCUUUGACAAGAUUGAUGGACCGCAUCGUAGAGUAUUGUGGGCAUAAGAAAAUAGAUGAACACGGCACCGAAGUGAAAAUCAUGGUAACGAACUAAUACAUAUUCUGCAGGCGAUAGCAAAUUUUUAGCUUCAAACUUGUUUUUGUUUUAUUUUAUUUUUGGGGUGCGUCUAAACUACCAGAAAAUCUACUGAAUGAUUUCCCUUCACUUUUCUUUUUUUUUUUUUGUACGAAAUCUGAAUCCAAAUGGGAUGAUUUUGACGAGGGAAGCAACUUCAUAUGUUAUUAUUUUUUAUUUUUUUGAGUUAAUUACACUAAACCCUCCUGAACUUUAUCUUUGGUUGUGUUUUGUCCCUUUAAACUCAUUAAAUAAUUAAUUUGCCCCCUAUUUGACAUCUUAAGACAAAAGUGUCCUACUAGAAAAUUCUGUUUUAUGUCCCGUGUUCAUCUUAUAAACUGAUAUCAGUAAAUUCAUUUCCACUACUAGAAAAUUCAAGACAAACUAUAUAGCUUAAAAACUGAUAUAUAUCUAUUGUAAUCGAAAAAAGUGUAUAUUACUAGCAAUUUAACUAUUCAAAAAUAUAUUAGCAAACUAGAACUUUUAAUUGCUUAAUUUUUAAAAGUAUAUCCAAACAAUUAAGAAAUUAAUAUUUUUUAUUUACUUUUUUAUGUAUAGUUGAUUAAACACUAUGUUAUUACGAUAUGAAUUUGUUACUGUCGUUACUAUAAAUUAAUUUAUUCAAUAAUCUAGGCAUACUGAUUUAAAUAAUAUAUAAAGUAGUCUAUGUGCAUAGAUAAUACACAUUUUGUUAUACAUAGAUUUUAUGAUAAUUAUUACUUUCAAUAAAAAAAAAGUACAAUAGAUAGAAAUAACUAAAGAAUAAGUUUAAUAAGAUUAAAAUUAAUAUAUAAAUAAUAAUAGCAAAGAGAAGAAAUGUAAUUGAUCACGCGAGAGAAUGGAGAAAAAAAAAUGGAUGAGUAAAAAAAAAAAAAAAAGACUGGUUAUGGAUGCAUAGAGUAGGUGUAAUACCCUUUAUUACGCCUAACCAUUACACCCUCUCCCAUAGUGGGGGUAUAGUGGGAGUUUUAAUAAUUACGAUGCAUAUCAUGACCCUUAUAUGUAUAAUAGACUGGCUGUAUGAUCUCAUUUGACAAUUUUAAAACUUGAAAUGAGUUCAUGGGAUAUGUAUUGUAAAUUAUUAAAAUAAAUAUGUAAUUUGAUCGUGAGUUCAUAUUAUUAUACUCUAUAGCGUAUAAUAUAUAGUGAGAGCAAUGGUGCAAUGAAAUAUAAUAAAGUGAUGAUGUGGCACAUGAAUUGCGUUCUAUUAAAUAUAUUUUAUUGUGGAUGCUGUAAACGGUACUUACAAUAAUGUCAGGCACAGUCAAUUCCUAGGGAAAUUCCAUAAUUAAAUUAGUUCAUAGCACGCGUUUAUUAUCUCUAUCCAAAUCGAAACACAAUCCAAACACUUAAUGCUUUGAGAAUUAAAUACCCGCUCUUUAAUAACGUCAUGAUAUCACAGCUCACAAUUAAGCAAGCACUAGAGAAAAUCCCAUCAAUUGCUUGUAACAUGUUAUUGAUUGCAGUGGCCGUUCAAGACACAUUAGUGCCGUUUAAUUGAGGCCUGAUACGAAACCAAUUAAAGACGACCAUGCAUGAAUUUAGUAGAACCAAAAUAGCGAGGCAGAGCCAAUUAAGCCCACCAAGCUUGCAUGAUCCAGUGGCUGUUUAAGACAAAAUGGCCUUCUUGUUUCCCCCCUUAAAAUUUAUUUUUCCCAGGAUUUUUCAUGCAUCUGAUCAUAGCUUCCCCCUUCAUGCUAUAAUUUACCCGGAAUUGAAGUUGAGAGGCUGAUCAGCACGUGGGGACUCAAAAAAAAUUCCUGAUUUCUGAGUACAUUAGGAACCAAGUAUCUCAGGAAGACAAGCAAAGGAAUGCUAGUAGCACUUGAGUAACUCAUAUAAGUGGGUGCUUUCGAGAAACAAGUUUGGACGAAACCGCUCAAGGCAAGUUUUUUUUUCUGAAGCUGCGUUGUAUUUCAGUUCAUUGGGGAAAUAGGAGGGAUAUCUUGAGAUUGCUGAAAGGAAGCAAGAACUUGAGAAGUUUUGCUGAAACUCAUGUGGCUCGAAAUUGUGCACAUGCAUUAGAGGGGGUGAUAUUUCGAGGUUGCUUCUUCUAAAACGCAUGGCACGCAUACUGCAGCAGAAACGGCGGACCAAGAUUUCACGGUGACGCGUCUGAUCAGUAAUCAGCAAUAUUUUUUAUGCAUGGUACUCCUAUUUUAACUUACUCAUAUUAUGGAUUAAAGAAAUCAGAAGGGUAGGGUCCGUAGACAAAAGUCAUCGCGUGGUCAUUCAUUAACUAGAUUGGAAAUGAUCCGUGCGUAUCUACGAUCUGAUCAUCUGGAGCUCGUAUACAUGAAUCAUGAGUCGACACACGAGACCUCCAAAACCGUCCCGAUCAUCAACAGCCGGCAUUUGUCUUUAUACACGGCACGACGAUGGGACUUAGGUCCCGUCUGAUAAAACUGAAUCUGAAUUCUAAAUAUUGAAACAAUUAAUUUGCUGAAUUUUAAAUACUGAAAAAAAUUUAUGAAUGUCUGAAUUUUAAUGUUAAACCUAUUUAUACUGUUUGAUAAACAUUUAUAACUAAAUACUUAAUAAGUUAAAUUUGACAAUUUUACCCUUAUAUCUUUUCAUCCAAAAAAGAAAUAGAACCUAUGAUUUAAUUAGUUAAAAAUGUUAGGUAUGAAAAUGACAAUAUUUAUGUUUAAAUCAAAUUAAUAUAAAAGAUGAAUUAUAUUAUAUGAGGAGUAUGGAAAAUAAGUGAAAGUCAUUCAGAAGGGAGCAAAGAGAAAUAGAAAAUCAUUAGAUAAAGAAUAUUAGGUUGUUUAAUUAUAUAAGAAUUUUGAACAUAAUUAAUAAACAAGGGUAGAUUUGGCAGAUAAGAUAAGGUAGUUGAAGUAAUUAUAUUGAUUGUUAUCAGAAUUAAGCAUUCAGUUAGGAUUCUUAUGCUGAAAAAAAUAUACACAAGUUCAACACUACUUAACAAGUUCAGCAAAUGGAUUUUCAUUUAUCAAACACUCAAAACAUCUGAAUGUCUGAAAAAUUUCAGAUUCAGCACUUUUUUAUGUUAUCAAACAGACCCUUAGUCAGAUGCAAGAAGAAUUAUUACAUUUUUUAUUGAUGCAAUGGCAAUUAGUAUUAGAAUUGUUACUACUAAGUGUCCUCUUCUUCUUCUUCUUUAAUCAAAAGCGUGCAUGCCCAAUGAUCAAUUGUUUUAAGCGACGAGCCCGAGCAUGAAACUUGGUGGGAACGGACAAAUGCAGCUGGAUGAUGAAUGCCAGUUAGACGGAUGAGUUGGAACAGUCGAUGAGGUAAAAAACAGUGGGAUGAGAUUCCGGUUGUCCCUUGACAAGUCCAACUGUCAAAGGAGUAAGGAGGAGAGGAGACUUAAAAAUACCACAGUUGUGUUGAGCAGAUAGGGCAUAAAUAAAUUAAACAGGCAGCAAAUUGCGCUGGGCGUGGACUGUGAUUGAUUCUUGAGUCCACGUGAAUGAGGCAACCACGAAAGCUGCUUCUUGGAUUCGCUUGUGUUCAAAACUCACAAAAUUAGGUGGGGCGGGUAGUUAUUUGCAAAAUUAACCGGAAUACUGGCUCCAUUUGGUUAUCAUAAUUUGUUAAAAUGAUUUUAAAUAUUAUUAUACUUGGCCGAGUUUUUUUUUUUGCCCUUCUGUCCUCCUUUCUUUCUUUUAAAUGCUAAGGAAAGAUAACUGUUUUGUUUUUCCUUUUUGCCCUCCUCAUUAGAUACUACAACAUCCAUGUCUUGCUUAACCAAAAAAAAAAAGUGUCCACGUUUGAUGCUAAAUUGAAAACCGAGUCCCCACACCCCCCGUUAACCGUUAAGCAACGUAGCUGUUUUUCUUGUCCCUUUAUUCCCUCCGUAUUCUUGAGGAAUUAAAUUUGUGGGUUUCUGUUUUGCUUUGAGGCCCAAUUCUACGACGCAGGUGGUGUAAAGUAAUCUUGAACCCUCAAGCCCCAACUGCCUGGGUAAUAUCUAAACCCAUGACUUUCUUCCCGGUCGUGGCCUGUAACGGAUGACGCGGUCGGUUGCAGCUCGUAGGUUCUCGAACAAGAAUAUAUUGGUUAUGUGCAUUUAGGCCCAAAUGAUCCGUGGGGGAUGUAGCUUGCAUCCAGAUCCCCUGGAUUUGAAAACAAUCCCGGUUUAUUACGCAACAUAAAAAGCUGCAGUCAGGCCCAAUUUCAAGAUUCCCUUUUUCACUGGCGGAAGAGACACACGAGUAGAUGUAACAAUUCUCGAUAUGACCUGAAAGGACAACGUGAGUCAAGUACGAAAUUAAUGGGUUUGAAUUGAGUCUUUACGGGUUCGAAUCAAAAUUGGGUCGAAUCAAAUAAGCCUGAAAAGAAAACAGGUUGAAUUCAGAUUACCCACUGGUUGACCUGAUAACCCGUUUAUGAAUUAAAAAAUAGUCAAUAAAUAUAAAAAUAUUUCAUCUAAGGCUCCGUUUGGAUUAGCUUUUUUGGGGGUGUUUUUGAAAAAUUUUGUUGUAGCAGAGUUUUUAGAUUAUAUUUUGGGAUAUUUAAGAGUUGAAGAGUUUCUAAAAUAUAUUUUGAGAUAUUUUUUAAAAUUUUAAAAAAAUUUAAACUAAUUUUUAGAUUACCUUUUAGAGUAGUUUUUAAAAAUUUUUAUUGUCUUUGAAAAACUAGUUUUUGAAAAAUAGUCCCGUCCAAUUCUUUUUUUUCCAAAGGCAUUAAUCAAUUAAUUCUAAAUGAAUUUGUUUAACUUGAGUGAAGUCGAAAUUAUUAUAUUUGAACAAAUAAUAUAUUACAUUAUUUUCUACUUUUAUAGUGUCUUAAUUUAUUUUAGAUCUGAUUUGAGAUAAAACACUUUUACAAAUGUUUUAAUUUAUUUUAGAUUUGGUUUAGGAUUGUUUUAUCAAGAUUUUUAUUAUUUGAUUAUGUAAUUAUUCUUAUAUGAAAUUGAUCAUGGGGUUUGUUUGGAUUGUAAGUUAUUUGAGAUAUUUUUACUGUAACACUUUUUGUGAUGUGAUGUAUGUGAGAUGAAAAGGUAAUUGGGAAGGUAAAAAGGUGUAUUGAAAAUUAUAAUGAUGAUGUAAGCAAAUAUAUUUGGGGAAAUAAAGGCCAAUUCAAACAAACUCCAUGUUAAAAACUAUAAUGGUUAAUUAGUAAAUUGAAAUUAUGUUUUAUGUUAUGCAAGUGACCCAUCAACCCGAAAACUUUAGGUUUGGGUCAAAUGUCCUGACUCGUUGCGAUUUGACGGAUUGUUUUCGAGUCAGCAAGCUUCAUGUUGUUGUAUCGGGAUCUCAAUCCGACAUGCGCAACCCAUUCCUGACCCGAUUACCACUCCUACAAAAGGCUUUUCACUUUUUCCAUGCCAGCUGCAAUAAAUUGCUCAAUUUGUUCUUCAGUACCGUACGAUUGAAGGUAUGGUUAAAAGCAAAGUUCGUGUGGUAAAAUAGUUCAGUGUAGUACUUACCUGCCUUAGGCUAAGUUUGGGAGUUUAGGAUAGAAAAGAGAAUAAGGGAAAACUUAAGUUAUGAGAGAAGAGAAGGGAUUGUUGUGUUGUUUGGGAGUUUUGAGAAUUAAUGAAAUGAUUUUGGAUAUAAAAGUCAUUAAAUAUUUGUUCAAGACAUUUUUAAAGAUAAAAUAGAUAUUUUAAAAAACUUUCAUAAGCUUCCUCCAACUUUCUCUUCAAUUUGGGAGGAAAACUUUACUUACUAUUUAUCAUCUUAAAUCCUUCCAUUUCUCUUCUUUUCUUUCCUAAUAAAAAUUAACAAACUAAGGAAAUGUUCACUUUCUCUUAUUUCCCCUUCUUUUCUCUCCAAAUAAUCCACUCCCAAACGAACCCUUAGGCUUUGUUGAAAAUGAAAGAAAAGCCAAAAAAAUAAAAAUAAAAAUUUUGGCAUGGCCCUUCCCAAAACUCGUAAAUCUAACCCAAAUAAAAAAAACUUGUAAAUCUAAUUUUGACAAGAUAAAACGCCUUAUUAGUUAAUGAAUUUGAUAGGAAUGGGUUUAUAGCCUCUAUGAGUGACAUCCAAAAAAUUAAUCAUAUUCACCACCUCUUUUACUACCAUUAAAUUUCUGUACACAAAAUCAUUGCCGUUUACAAAAUUUUGUUAAUUUGUACGUCGUAAAAUUGCUUUAGAAGUAGUCAAUUGCUCUAGCCAAUCGAUUAACUAGAUCAUAGCCAACUGCUUUAGAAAUAGUUACUUAUGCAUAAAAUUUACACAAAAUGAAAAUUUGAUAUUCAUAGGAGCAGUCUAAUGUAAAUUUAUACUAGCGUUAAUUUGGAAUACAUGGAGUGAAUAUUUGUUUUUUCAGUUCGAUAGUUGUGCUAAUUGAUUUUGGAACACAACUCGAAAAGAAUCACGCUUGACACUGUACCACUAUAUAUGUGUGUACCUGAAUCCGUCGUCGGUUGAAUGUUUCCAUUAAUAAAAAAUUAAUUAAUUAACGACCACAGCAAAGUCUCCAAGUUUAGGCGUAUAAAAGCAUUACAAGAGUAAUAGAUUGGCGGGAGUCUCUAGUUUGUUUAAUUCUCAAAUCUGAAAUUUUCAGUGGGCGGCCAGUUUGCCCAAAGUUGUCCGCCCGAUAUAGAGGUUGCGAAACGGAAGAACAUUUUACUCCCACUUCACACUAAACUCAAAUUUAUUUCCCAAAUUGCCCUCCCACACAGAACACCCACUCCUCUGUCUCGUUUCACGCACCUUUUCACAUCGUGUUCUCUCUCAUCAUCUUCUUCGUUUCUCUCUCCUCACACUCUCGAUGGAGAACCAGAGCCAAAGACGCCAUGAACAAUUACCAUCAAGUUCAGCAGCGAGGAGAAGCUUGAAGAGAAAGCUUGACGAGGAUUUCGAGGACGAUCGUAAGAUCGAAGCUCUCUCCCCUCCCGACGCUCACCAAGAUCUCGUCCGUGAGGUUCGCACUCAAGUGCAGAUUCUGGACUCUACUUUCUCUUCGAUCGAGGCAGAUCGAGCCUCCUCGAAGCGCGCCAUUCAGAUUCUCUCUGAACUCGCCAAGAACGGUAGCGCCGAACCUGCUGAUUUCUCGAUUUUCAUUUCAUUUCGUUCUUGUUUAAACAUGAUUACUGAAAGUUUUGGCUUUUAGGUUAAGAUUUCUUGUUCGUUUGAUUCGAUUUCGUAUUGAUCUUUGAGGAUUUGUGUUGCUACAGAGGAGAUUGUUAACGUGAUUGUGGAUUGUGGAGCGGUUCCGGCGUUGGUGCGGCAUCUCCAGGCGCCGCCGCCAGUGAGAGAGGGAGACAGUGCACCGAGACCUUACGAGCAUGAAGUCGAGAAAGGAAGUGCAUUCACUCUCGGUCUUCUUGCUAUUAAAGUAGGUGCAGAACUUUUGCUCUUCAUUUAUAGUCGGCUAUGCUUGUAUUUUCCUUGUGCAAUCAGUAUGUAAUCUGUCUUUUUACAGGUAGAAAAAUUAAUUACAGCAGCACUAAAAUUUUUAGGGAACUAAGUAAGCGUAAGCUUUAUAUAAUAGGAGAUUUUUUAAUUGGUAGUUGAACGCAGUAAAACUUAUGUCCAGCAUCUGAGAUUUUCUAACCUUUUUUGGACUAGCUCUUUGGAUGGUCCCAGAAAUUUGAUUGGUGUAAUCUCCUUCACUAUUUGUAGACUUUUUAUGAGCUUACGUACAGUUUAACAAGAAUUGGAUUAUGCAUCGGUAACCAGCUCGCAGAAUUUGGCAUCUGAGUACAAAAUCCUAGUAAUAGUUUCACUUGUACUUAAUCAAAGCAAUGAUGGUGAAAUGGAAAGUCGCUCUAACUUAUAUCAAAAGUUCCCAGUGACCAAGAAUUAUAAUUUAAAUUAACUAAUUAUCCACGGCAAAUGGUUACAUUUUGUAAGUAUGAGGCAUUUGCUUAAUGCAAUAGCCUCUAUUAUGGUAAUUGUAUUGCUAUUUAUCUUUUAAGAUGCUUGUCAUGUUCUCUUAUUCUCUACAUUAUUUAAAAUUAAUGUUCAAGUCAAGAAACAACCCUACAAGAUGAGACAAAACCAUUAAUUAAGAACACCUUUUGAGACAUUCAUAAACUUUGCAAUUAUUAUUGCUAUUAUUUUUUUUAUGCCUUUAAUGAAUUUGCUGCUCAAUGUUGCUUUAAUUUACAGCCAGAGCAUCAACAACUCAUUGUAGAUGCUGGAGCCCUGCCUCAUCUUGUGGACCUUUUAAAGAGACACAGAAGUGGUCAAAACUCUAGGGCAGUCAAUGGUGUUAUUCGGAGGGCAGCAGAUGCAAUCACUAAUUUGGCUCAUGAGAAUAGCAGUAUUAAAACUCGUGUUAGGUAUUUCCUUUUUCAGUCGGAGAUGCCUGUUAAUUCUAGUAUGUCAUCCUGACUUAAUACUUGUCAAUCAUAUGGUUAGGAUUGAGGGUGGUAUCCCCCCUCUUGUUGAAUUGCUCGAGUUCAUUGACACAAAGGUGCAGAGAGCAGCUGCUGGAGCUCUGCGAACACUUGCAUUUAAGAAUGAUGAGAACAAGAAUCAGGUUGACGAAUAGUCUGGUUUUUAUAAAUUUAUCUUGGCAGUUUUUUUUUCUUUGCUUAAAGAUUUAUUUUGAAUAAUUGCAGAUUGUGGAAUGCAAUGCUCUGCCCACACUUAUUUUAAUGCUUCGUUCUGAGGAUGCCGCGAUCCAUUAUGAAGCGGUUAGUUUCCCUGAAAAAUUCAUGUUUAUAUUGUGCUUCAAAUUUGGUAUCUCCAGAUGUUGAAGUCAUGCCUUAGCUGGCCACUAUUGUUAAGAUAGCAAAUCAAUGCCUUCUUCAGGUUGGUGUUAUUGGGAAUUUGGUUCAUUCAUCACCUAACAUAAAGAAAGAAGUUCUUCUUGCUGGAGCUUUGCAACCUGUUAUUGGAUUACUUAGGUUAGUCAUGAUCUUUUUUUAGUCAGCAUCAUUAGCUUCUUUUUUACUUCUUGUUUUUAUUUUAGAAGUUUCUGAUUAAAUUUCCUAUCUGAUUUUCAAGGCCAUGGAUGUUAUCCUCUUCAAGGUUUCACUUUCUCACUCUCAGUGUCGUUGCUUUUGUUAUAUUUUGACUACAGUUCCUGCUGUUCAGAGAGCCAAAGAGAAGCUGCUUUGCUACUUGGGCAAUUUGCUGCAACAGAUUCAGAUUGUAAGGUUGACAGAAGAAUAAAUUCCCUAUAUAGCUAGUAGAUGUUCUAUCAAUUACUCUCUUUUACCACUCCCGGUUAUUCUUUAGUUUAAGUUCAUGUACGAGUUUGCAGGUUCACAUUGUUCAGAGAGGUGCUGUGAGGCCAUUGAUCGACAUGCUGCAAUCUCCAGAUCCUCAGUUACGGGAAAUGUCAGCCUUUGCUCUGGGGAGGUUGGCACAGGUAGUUGUUGUUGAAGUUUGUCUUACUACUUGCUCCUUGGAUGUUCCUUUUUCUCUGUAGUGUCUAUAAGUUUAAUAGUUUUCAAUGGUUUUGCUAAGUGAUGUUUCCCUGCAGAUUGUUUCCUCUUUUACAUUAAGUUACCUGUUAUAGUUUCCUAUUCAUCCUUCAAAUCAAUGCGCAUUACACGUCUUCUGUGGAAUGGAGUCAGUUUUUGUGUGUUUCCUAUGUCUGUAUAAUUUUGGUUGGUUAUGUUAUGACUACUCUUUUUUUUGCAACGAUUGCUAGGUUGAUGUCAACUUUUCUAAGAGUUUUCCUUUGACUUCAAUUAUUUUAUUUCAUUUGUUUUGGGGUAUUAGGAUAUGCACAACCAGGCUGGAAUUGCUCAUAGUGGUGGCAUAAUGCCAUUACUGAAGCUUCUUGAUUCAAAAAAUGGAUCUCUGCAACAUAAUGCUGCAUUUGCACUUUAUGGACUUGCAGAUAAUGAGGUAUUUCGGACUUUCUAUCAGCCCAGCUGAAAUUUUGAUUUGUUAUUUGAAUUGCUUCUUUUACUUUUUUCACCUGCUAAGUUAUGUUUACCACCCUUGUAGGACAAUGUUGCAGAUCUUAUUAGGGUUGGAGGUGUUCAGAAACUUCAAGAUGGAGAAUUCAUUGUGCAAGUCUGUACCAAUUUUGCAAUUUACCCACUGGAUUUUCUCUCUUUCUGAACUGAUUUUACAGUUAUAUAGCAUGUCAGCUGAAAGAUUUGAAUUGGUUUUAACUUUCUUGCCUUCUGCUGACAUAGAAUUCUUUUAAAUGCAGCCAACUAGAGAUUGUGUAGCAAAAACGUUGAAGAGAUUAGAGGAGAAGAUCCAUGGGCGAGUGAGUCCUUUUUGGUAGAGUCCACUUUAGAUGGUGAUGUCAAUUUGAACAAUCUAAUUUCUGAUUUUAGGUGUAAAUGGAAUUAUUGAUUACUUUCAGAAUUUUGGCUGUCUAUUGGCCAAGCCAUUGAAUGUCAUUUACUUGCUGCAAUGGAUUUUCUAAUUUUGAACAGCUUAAUUUACAAAGUCAAUGUUGUUGAGAGGUAACCUGAAUAACACUAUUAUGUUUAGAACAAUGGGGACAAGUUACUAUUGAUAGUUGGGAGUUUAUUGCAAGCAUUUUGGUCAUGCUUUCAUAGGAAUUAGCAUCUGCUUUAUUUGUUGUUAUGAAUCUGUCCCUCUUGAUUACUCCUGUUUUAAUUGGUUAUAUAUAACUCUGCAGGUAUUGAGCCAUUUGUUGUAUUUGAUGCGUGUUGGAGAGAAGGUUGUACAACGACGCAUUGCUUUGGCCCUUGCCCAUCUUUGUUCUCCAGAUGAUCAGAGAACAAUUUUUAUUGAUAACAGUGGUAAUUAUCUGUUCCAAAAGCUUUGUAAAAUUGUUCAUAUAGACUUUUGAGAGUCCAUUUUUAUUCUUUUAUAUGCAGGUCUUGAGCUGCUUUUGGAGCUUCUUGAAUCGACGAACUUCAAACACCAACGUGAUGCCUCUGUUGCUCUGUACAAAUUGGCUAGCAAAGCUAGCACACUUUCUCCUGUUGAUGCUGCUCCUCCAUCACCGAUACCCCAGGUGAGUUGUGGUGGUUUAUUUAUCCCUGCCAGUUUCAGCUCAUGGACUCACCAAUAGCUCAAUUGACAUUGCUUAGCUUGUUGGAAUUUCUGAAGGCUAUAUCUCUCCUGUGCUGUUUCUAUGUCUCCUUGUGGUGAUGGAAAAACCAGUGUCAUUUCAGUAAUUGAUGUUUGUGUGUGUUAUUAAUAUAAAAUUCUGAUGCCUCUAUUGAACUGUCACAAAAAGAGGAUCUACCAGUGGUGUUGAUGAGGCCCUCUGGAUUAUCCCUUUCAAUAUUGAUGAAACCGUUUGUUGGUUUUGCAUUUGCUACUCUUCCUAUUUUCACCUUGUAUAAAGUUCUGUACAAUCACUGAAGCACUAAAGUUCAUGCUUAUACCUUGUCAUCGAUUCUGAAAAGGAUUUGAUUUCCUAUCUAAUAGUGUGAAGUUGCAAACUCUAAAUAGUUCACCAUUCUGCCUGGGCGAGAUUUGACAAUUUAGCCAAUCAUGUUGUCAUUUGUUGUUGCAGGUGUAUUUGGGAGAGCAGUAUGUAAAUAAUUCUACGUUGUCUGAUGUCACAUUCUUAAUUGAAGGUAAGCUAACAUGCUGUGCCUCUGGUGCUUUUUAAAUAUGUUCUUGUUAAUUCAGUUUUUCUGAUUGCUGUUGUCUUCACUUGUUAGGGAAACGGUUUUAUGCUCAUAGAAUUUGCUUGCUUGCUUCUUCUGAUGCUUUCAGAGCGAUGUUUGAUGGCGGUUACCGGGUGAGUUUAAUACUAGUUUGAAAAUUUAUUUGUUUUGCAAUUUUGUUUUGUUGAAAUGCCGAAGUCAUGCCAAAACCGUUUUAAAUACAAUGUUGAAACAUAUUCCUGUUGGUUGCUCAACAACGGCUCUUUUGGAUGUCUGAGCAUAGAUUUGGUCAUUGGAAUCUGUGCAAGCUAUCUAGAUAUGUAUUGACACAUGAUUUGUCCUUCAGGUUGAUUCGCUGAAAAUUAUUUUAACAGUGUUCUUAAUGGUGUUGUAGGAGAGAGAUGCCAAAGAUAUAGAGAUUCCUAAUAUUAGAUGGGAUGUUUUUGAGUUGAUGAUGAGGUGUGUCUUUCUUUAGCAAAAUUUUUCAACCUCUCUUUAAGUUGAAGGAAACGAUGAAUUUGCAAAAUGCUAUAUAUGCGUACAUUCUCUGUUGCAGGUACAUAUACACUGGAUCAGUCAAUGUCAAUUUGGAUGUGGCACAGGAUCUUCUGAGAGCUGCUGAUCAGUAUCUUCUGGAGGGCCUCAAACGAUUAUGUGAAUAUUCAAUUGCUCAAGUAAGUUCAAUUUACAAGAGGAAUGUCUCUUUUGGGCCUGUCAUAUAUUAGGUCUGAUGGUUUCUUCUUGUGUUUGGAAGGAUAUCUCGGUGGAAAACGUUUCUUUGAUGUUUGAGCUAUCAGAGGCAUUCAAUGCUAUGUCAUUACAGCAUGCUUGUAUACUGUUUAUCCUCGAGAACUUUGACAAAUUAAGUCUCAUGCCAUGGUAUGGUACUAUCGCCUCCUGUCUCUGACUUUUCCGGUAAAGAAUGCUUGAUAGAUUUAUUACCAUAAAAAGUUAAUUAAAAAAAUUGAAAGAAACUGAAAAGUGCUUGGUUCCUGCAAGUCUUACUUAGGAGUGUCUUCGAAGUGGUUGGCUUGAAGUCGUCACCACUUGGAGGUUUUGCUACUGGAUUACGUGUUGGGUCUUGAACUGAUUGCAUCAUGCUCUGCUGUCAACGAUAGACACUGCAAACUAAUCAAAAUGAAACUACAGAAAAUUAAGAGGCACAAAGGCCUUCACUAUUGCCUUUUCAAUCUAUAAGCAAAUGUUGAUGCCUUAUGGGUUUCAGGUUUUUUGAGCUGCAGGUAUUCGCAUCUGAUCCAACGCAUUUUACCAGAGACACGGCAGUACUUCUUAAAGGCGCUUAUCCGGCCUACCCAAGCUGAAUUACGGAGAUAGAUAUUGGGCCAGUUUUGUUCUUUGACUUAGUUGUGUUGACAGAGAAAAAGAAUGUACAGAUGGAAUAGGUGAAAAGCAACCAUUGAUUCUCUUGAUCUGGAUGCAUCGGCAUUUCAUGGUUGAAUGCAAUCUCCAGAAUUUGACUGAUUCAUUAUCACUGCACAAUUGGCAGUUGUGAAGUCUCUCAGAUAGAAGUGCACAGCUGAGGGAAGCAGAGGAGCCUUCAAACAGAACUGUAUUUGGUUAAUGUGAAGAAUGUACCUCGCACAAGCUGAAUAGCCAAAUGCAUUUUGUACCUGAAAAAAAGCUAUAUAUAUAUAUAUUUUUUUAAAAAAAGCAGAAUGGUUUGGUAACUUCAUGGGUGUUGUCCAAUAAAUUAACAACUGUGUGAUUGACAAGCUGAAUUGGCUCUUAUUUUUAAAUAUUUAAAUGUGAAUACGAUUUGCGAAAGGAUUAGAAGACAGCAGCAUUAACUGACCUAGCCAAAGGAAAACUGAGGAAAAUCAGAAAUAGAGGGGACUGACAAUCAGAUUGCGGCCAAAGAGGAUGUGAGAGCAAUGCCUCGUACGCUGUAAUCUUUAUGGUUUAUCUGCGAAAGCUAUCAUCGUUUGGAUGGCGUUGUGGGAGGAUUACAUAAACGGUGAUUUUGACCAUGAGAGUGCAGUUUUUGUUGAUAGGAUGAGAUGAGUGUCAGAGUCGUCAUUGUCUCGUUUUUUUCCUACGGUCUCUAUCUGAUAAAAUCCUACUCUCGUUGAUGUUGUGCAGCCUUUAUCGCUGUUUAUGUUGUUUAGUACUACUCUUUUUAAUUUUCAUUUUGUACCGAUAAGCAUAUUAAAAGAUGGGAUGUAUCCAGUAUAAAUUGUUGAAUUAUCUUUCACCCCCUAAUGAAAAGUUUAAGUUUCUGUAGCCGAAGAAUUGCUAAUCCCUUGUAACGUGUCCUUGGCCCUCACAUAAGUUAUUUUGCACCCAGACAAAUAAAAUCUAAAUUAAGAAUUAUCUUCUGUCAUCUCCAUUUAAUCAAGAGCUGUAGGCCCAAACCAUUUAGUAUAUAAUUACAAUAACUUUGUCUCAAACAUUUGAGAAACUUGGGACUAGCUUUUGGUAUUCUCAGCCCGAAUAGACAUCAAAGAAAUACAGAAGGGAAGAGAAAAACUCAAACCAUUAGAUUGUCGCCUACCAUUCUGGCAGUGCGAAUUAAAUGCACUGCUCUACAUAAAACAGCACGUUCUGUACAGUACAAAAGAGAACUAUGGAAAUAAACCGAAUUUUCACACAAGAAGAAUCAUCACUACAACAGCUGCAAAAAACAUGGUACUAGAGAAGAAUAUCGUCAAAGAAGCAAGGACAAUCUAGAGCAACCCAAAUUUUAUUUACUAAAGAAUGAUCUUUCAUAUUGAUAACCUUUGACUCGUGGCAGCAAAUUCAAGUUGGUGUACUAGCAUGAAACUGUCAAGAAUGUUAUAGUUCCACACGAUGAAAAUCUUCAUCUAGCAGCUGUAGCACAAGUCGAAUCUUCGUUGUUUGGCCAACUGCCCUUUAUUCCGCAUGCCUGAAUUGAGCGUUCGAUCUGGACACCUCCACUACCUUCCAUUUCCAACAGCGCACAGUACUUCCCGAAGGUAUCACUGCUUACAAAAAGCUGAAAAUCCACACCAAAUAAAAACUUCAUUUCCAACUUGUUCAACUCUAAUGUGCCCACACCUCCAACUCUGGCAUAAUAUGCAUUAUUGUAAAACCUGAAUGUAACAUCAAAUCAGAAAUUACCAAAGACAAAUAAGCCAAAAGUAACAGGCGCAGGGAGAUUAGUCUGGCAAAGUUUGGACACUCCCUGUGUUAAAAAAAAAAAAAAAAGCCAAAAGUGCAACGCGAGUUAAAAAAUAACAGAGUUACAAUAUGCUCUGAUGAAACAGUGAGAGGCAACGAGUUGUCCUCAAUUGAAAGUCAAGUUCUCCAAUCAAGAACGGAAUUAUAGCUUAAUAACACUCCUUUUCAAUGGAUUGUCUUGCUUUCCAAUCCGUUGUGAAAAUAAUGGACAAAAACCACAGACCAUUCCUUUCAAUAUCUACGAGGAAAAAAGUAGUAAUAACACCCCAUGCUCCACUAUCCCCCAACAUUUUGAUAAGAUUUGGUGGGCUCCAGAAGUCUUCCAACUCUUUCUGAAAUCUCACGCUUAGAGAGUCAAAGCCAUUUAAUUUCAAAGGAGAUCAAUUUCGUUUCUAGGAAGCAAACAGAUAGGUAGAAUAUAACGGAAACUGCUUACAUUAUGAGUUUGAGUAAACUUACGCAUCAUCAAUAUAUUUUGCUGCCACCAUGACACUGGUGAUGAGAAGGCGGUGAACAUUAAGAGAAGUUACAACAGCAUUGGUGCGCUUAAUAAAUCUCUCCACAUAAAUAUAUGCAACAAUGAAGCAGGAAGGACUGCAGCAUGAGUACUUAAAAAUUCGUUCAAUGUAUAGUUCAAUGCCUAAAGAGGGUGCUUUUGAACCGUGAAAUACCGUAAUAACGUCUUUAGUUUGUGUAGUCUCAAGAAACCUUUCAUUCUUCUGAACAGACCUCUCAAGAAGUGAGGACAGAUAUGAUAGCAGUCGGGGUUUUCCUGUACUUCCCUUCCCAGAUUCUCCGAGCCCCAGUCUUAAGUAAGUCUCAGAACACGCAUUCUCAGUUUUAAGAGCCAAUGUUUCCAUGACCAGAGAGAAACACUGCAACAAAAUGACACUAAUGACUGCGAGUUCUAAAUAUAACACAUUGCUUCAUGGAGAAAGGAGAGAAUUAUGAAAUGUUUUCAAUAUAUAACUGGAAGUGGAUCUAGUUCAUGUUCAUGUUCAUAUUCAAAACUGCAUUUUCAAACAGCAUAUCAAGCCGGAUGGAUGCAGAAAAUGACUUUCAGCAUGAAAGAAAUCAUUUUUUGGUCAUGGGGUAAAUCACCUCAUGCAAACAUCAAACGAUGAUUCUGAAUUCCAAAAUAUUGGAUUGUAGGCACACAGCAGACUCCAGAAACUAGUCAGCGCAAGACCACUUGUACUCCUAAAAUUCCAGAAUGGAAGUUUAAAUAAGACACCCAAAUCAACUUUGUUACAAGCAAAAGUUUCAGAAAAUCUAGAAACUCAAUUCAUAUCACCCAAUUUGUUGAAGAUACAUAUUACAAGUGAUCCAAAAACAAGUAGUUCUAGGUCAGGAGACCAUUCUACUAUAAUCCAUUUUAUCAUUUCUUUCUUUUCCAAAUGUUAUAUCUACCAAAUAUAGAGUUAUGGCUCCAUUGAUCACCAUAACGGAGUAUACUAGGAUUUCUUCCUCAGGAAAUAACCUAUUUUGUCUUUUCUUUCCUUUUCCCACAAUCCACGUUUAUGUAGAAUUCUGGCUAACCAUGUACCACUCCUUUAAUCAUAGGAAUCAAGCACAAGGACUGCAUGUGGACCUAACAACUAGAUAAACCAACGAACAAAAGGAGGCAUUUUCAAUGAAAAAGAAACAUAAAAACACCAGCAAUUUUGUUAGAGCGAAUAAAUCAGACUGAAAGUUGACAGCAACGACACCAUAAACUCUCACUUCUAUAGAACAGAUAUCAGCGUGCAAGCAAAAUCGUUUAUGAAGUUCUCCUGUCAAAAUAGCAAAAGUUUGAAUGAGCUAAAACAUGUGAUUGGGUUAAAAUAUUACGGACACCAUCCCAUUUUACUGAACCUCCAUUAAUUCUCAAUGCCCAGGAAAAGAGAACAAAGUUUUUCUUACACUCUGUCAUGGCAAUAGUCUUAAAUUCGCUGCUACUUUUAUCUCAGAAUGCUGCCAGUCAAAAACACACACACGCACUCAACCGCUCUCACAUAAACUACAAAAGAACAGGACAACCUUCUUAAAACUUUGAACAAGUUUAAACAGAGGUUUAAAGGAAUCAUAUUAAUUUAUGAUUAUAUAGGAGUACGGGAAAUUCUAAACUUUCCCCUUCGUUACCAUCUGUUGACUUCUACCAGGUUUCCCAUUCUGGAUGCGCUUUAAAGUAUUCUUGAAAUUUUUCUACCAGGUUUCGCAUCUGACUCCUUGCCAGAAAUUCUUCACAAACACCAUCCGGAUAAACAACUUAGCAAGAAAUGUAGAGUCUUUAUUAACUCUACAGCCUCCAGGGUGGAGUAGUAAAGAAGCAAAUCUAACUGGCCAAUGGAAGAGAUAAAGCAAAGCUCGCAAGAACAUUUAAAUUUUUUUUAAAAAAAGGAGGCCCAUUGACAAAUAGCGCUCCCCAAGAUGACCCGCAUUAACUGUCAAAGAAACCCCAUUCAAUAUGAAGAAAUUAAAACAAUUCCAAAUGCAUAUGGUGUGAAGAAUGAGAGUAGCUCACACAAAUUUUGGAGAGAUCUGAUAUCUGAAUCUUCAGUUCAAUCUUCCACUACGUGAGGAGAGCACCAUUCACGAUGAUGACAGGAAACAGAUACUCGAGUCACAGCAUUAGGAAAAGAGACAGAGACAGGGAAACAGAAGAGAAUAAGCAGCUCUCUCUGUUUCCUGUCUCUGAGAGAGGAAGGUACUAUACCCGCUGGAGCACAACCCCACUUUUUUGGUCUCUGUGGCCAAAUAUUUCUCUACAUGUUUUUUUAUAUGCAGGGCAAAGGCUUAAAAAGGAGGAUUGAUUAUUCAAUGAACACGCAAGUAAUACACCUGCAGUAAUAUUUCUUUCUUUUCUUCCUCUGUUUCCUUUUCCCCUUUUCUUUCUUUUUUCUGUUCUUUACUUCCGAGUUGGUUGUCUUUUAGGUAGCUUCACAUGGAAAAUUAAACUUCUCUCUCUCAACUCCCCAGAUCCCAUUAAAAUUUUAUUGCAAAGGUAAAUACUACUGUUGAAAACCCCAUCUACAAUCAAAACUUGGAUCCGGUUUUUUCAACCCAUUUCGGCUCUCGAGCUCUUCCGUGCUCUCUCAUCAUCUCUCUCUCUCUCUCUGCAAUGUUUAUGGAAGCAAAGCUGUCGGUGGUUUUCUUUUUCUUUUUUUUUUUUCCAACUACUACCAGUAUUUGUGUCGUAAUCGGCUUCAUUGCUACUGUUUUGCAGCAGAAAACCAUUUCCGGGCGUGUUGCUCUUAUCCCUAUGUCAUUUUCUACUCUCUUUUUACACAAUUUGACCCCAAAUCAUUUGUUCUGAAAUUUGAUCACCGACAAGUAUUAAAUUUGACAUGUAAAAGCUAAAGAGUGGGAUUCCAUCUAAACAUGAAAAAAGGCAUAUGCGAUUAUUGUUUUCAACUGCAAACACACAAUUAAGUCUGAAAAUAGUAGAAUAAGGAGUAAUUUUUUUAGUCUUGAUUGAUAUCAUAUCAACCAAAGUAAUUUUUGUAGUAGGGAUGAGGCUUUCAGACACAAUAAAAAUCUUCAACCCGAAUUUAGUACUACGAGAACGGAACUAAAAGAGGGUUUUGUAUUUUGCCUCUCCGACAAUAACACGUCAAACUACAAUUUACAGUGCAUUACAAGAUUUCUGGAAGCAGCUUCCAGUUUAACCUUAAACAGCUCAUUGAGACGGAGAAGGUGUUGAGUACUGAGGCCGUUUUCUUGCAUGACAACGCUCAACGUUUUUGCCUCAACAUAUGCAAGUAUCAAGACUUUGAAGAUGAAAAUAUAUGCAUUAUAAUUUUUUUUUUUGCCUAUUUAACACUUCAACAACUAUAUCAUAACAAAUAUUUACUGGGCAUUAGUUGGACAAAACCUUAUAAUCCUUGUCCCCCACAAAAUUUGAUAAAUGGACUGAUACCUACCGCAACAUAUGAUUUGAUUGUUGCAAUUUUGGAGGUGCUGAAAAUCACGCUUUCAAUUUCCAUCACGGUUUUAUUUUAUGCCGCGAAAUAAGCCCCAGAUAGUGGGUCACUUGUCCAAAUCCAAAUCAUUGACAACCAGAAAUCUUUUUCCUUUUUUUUUUUUUUUGGGAAUAAACUAAUUGGGGGUGAUUAGAUUCCCAUUUCCGUCCACAUCAACCCGGUUACAAUCUAAAAUAGUACUACUAGCACUACCAUACAUAAUACAGCUACGCUUCCAUCUUCUUCUUCUUCUUCCUUUUUUUUUUUUUUUUUAAUAUAAAAAAAAAACGGUGCUCAUGAGUGGGGAUGCUAUUUAAGAAUUUAACAUAGCUCAAAUGUUAAUUUUUUUAAUUUUUGAAGGAGCUUGAUCAUGAUUUAAUCAUCAGGAACGACUUCCAUAAUCAAUCACCAACACAAAUAUUAAUGCUUUCCAGGCACCAACAAAACAAACAACUCAAUGAGAGCCCAACAACUCACUACUUGGGGCUAGCACUCCACACAACACCACACCCGCCCCCAAUCAUUAUUUGAUUCAAGUUGGCUGCUUAGAGCUUGGGCUUGUCUUUAUUUAAUUAAUGGGCUCACAGCGAACAGAUCAUGGGCCUAGACAAAAUCUCUCAAACUUUUAUCAACGAGGUGCUGCAGUCCAUCACCAGUCCACCUAUGUACCUCCAACUCAACUGGGUGUCGAAUAUUUUUUGUUUGAUCGAUAAUUGGAGAGAAAAAGGUUGGCGGCAGCGGCAGUGGGAGUGGUCCGAGUGGAGGAGUUUUCAGUCAAUUCAAGUGACCGAGGAGGAGGAAUAUUUCUGUCGAUGCGGAAAUCGCACGCAGUCUCGGUUCCCCACACUGGUCUACUAAGUACCCACUGCUAGUAGUACGUAUGAACCAUAUAAAUUACUGUAUGGAAGUGGUGGUGGUGGUGGUAUAAUAAAUAGAGAAUUUGUUUUCAAGUAGAGGGAGUAAUGAUUCGUCCAUUUUCCCUCCAAAAAGUAGACAGGAAACAGAUGCUGCUGGAUGCUGGAUGCUCCUCCCUUCCCUCUUCUUUUCUCGCUUCCUUUUCAUUUUAAUUUCUUCGUCGGCCCGCCGCCCACCAUCUCAUAAUCAACUCCGCAGUAUUAGGAAGAUUAUUCACUUUUUCUUCGCUCCGCAUCUCCUCUUUCAUUUUGAUUUUCUAGGGUUUCCAACAACUCGCCACCACCAUUUUUCGCAACCCCUGCAGUCCUUUUGUCCAAUUCCUCCUACCGGUACUACUUUUGUUUAUCAGUUCUUUCCUCCUCCUCCUUUAUGUUCCCUUAAAUUUAUUGUGUUAAUAUCAAUAUUAUCUCUGCUAUGAAGACGUUCCGUUGCUUUUUUCAUUUUCACUGGAUCUACUGGAAUUUGUUUAAUCUGCUGUUACACCAAGCCUGCGGUGGCAUAUUUCUGCAUCUAUUUGCACUUAAUGCGGGCGAAAUGUAACUUUAUUUCACAUGUUUGUUUUCAUUUUUAUUUUUGCUGGAGUUGUCCGAAUUGCAAUUUUGUGUUUUUCACCCCCUCGCAUGGCAAGAGUUUGAGUAGAACAUUCAUAAAUCAUAAUUCUCUGUCAAUUCUGCAGCCGCAUAUGUAGCUUGACACGUUUGCAUGACUUACUGAUGAUUUAAAGCUACUGCUUGGACAAAUCUAGAAGAACUUUAAACUUGUGGAACAAUAACGUUGGUAUUGAUUAAUGAAUAUGAUACGGUGUUUAAUCCCGGAAUUAAAUACAUUAGCUGCAGGCAUAUUCUCUAUUCUGGUGUAAAUUACUUCCUCGACAUCUAAAGAAGCUUAAACUGAUAUACUGAUGUCUUUAUUUGCACUGAUUCCUGCUUUGCGGCCCAAAUGAAGGAGAGGAAGUUUACUAAAACUUUUGAACCAAAUUCCCAGAACCACACACGCACAUAAUAUUUAAUAACUCGUUAGUGUUUUUAUGCACUGCUUAUUCUUAACUGAUCUUAAAAAGCAUUUUCUCUUUGUGACCAUGGACUUUCUUUUUGUACUGUUAGUCAUUUAUUUUAUAUUCUGUAUCCUGUAUAUAAUUUCCCUUCCUGUCCUCCUUUUACCAUGUGACAUCAACACGAUAACAAGAAGAAUCAAGUUUUGUUAAAGUGGCUGGCUUUUGUUGUUCAGAGAAAAACAUAUUAGGGGAUACUAGAUGAUUUGUUUUGGAGGUGUUGGGAAGUUUAAGCAUUAGGAAAUACUAUAUAGGUUAUUUAAAGUGUUUUGAGAUGACAAAUCCAAGAUAUAACAACUGACGUUGAACAGUUUUCUUAGCUUGAAUUUCUUCAGUUUUAGGGAAAGUUUUGCUUUCCUAGCCUGUAAUAGACUAACUUCCACCUGGACUUUCUAGGGAAAAUGUUUUGAUGCUUUAUUGGUUAGUGUUUGAGACAGGUGAGCUUACGGACACAAAUUGAUAUGUGAAGAGAAUGGUGGAGUAGAUUCUCCAGACCACACUCUUUUAAAGCCAGUAUUAUUUUCUUUAUGAAUAUAAUUUAAAGUUUGGGUUGGCCUAAUUGCUAUCUUGGUUGCAUCAGUGGCAUUGUUGGUUGUGCACUUCCACUGUUCUGUUGGUUCUAACACUAAACCCUCUAUUAUUUGGCAUAAGUUAUAAUGACCUUCUGGUAACUUUUGAUAUUGAAAUGGCCUCUUCAAUCAAGUGUUGUAUUCAAUUGCUAAUAUUUAUGUUUGAAGAGUAGUAGAGUCUUCUUUUUCAGGUAUUGCUGCUUUCUUAUAUUUUGUUUAUAUCAAGACUCUUCUUUUUGUAACAAUUCAAUUGUUUACAAGCUGACGUUGUGGCUGAACGUGUGUUUACAGGUUUUCUUACAUGGAUUCUAAAACUUUCUCUAUGAAAUUGUGGCCCCCUAGCCAAAGUACCAGGCUAAUGCUUGUAGAAAGAAUGACUAAGAAUCUUAGCACUCCAUCAGUUUUGUCCAGAAAGUAUGGUCUUUUGAGUAAAGAGGAAGCUGAGGAGGAUGCUAAGCAAAUUGAAGUCGUUGCAUUUGCUUCUGCAAGCCAGCACUUUGAGAAGGAGUCAGAUGGAGAUGGAAGUUCUGCUGUGCAGCUCUAUGCUAAAGAAUCCAGCAAGCUUAUGCUGGAUGUUAUCAGAAGAGGACCCAGAACAAAGGAAGAUGGAAAUUUUAUUGAGUCUGAGAGAGUUAGAGUAUCUCAUGAAACAGUAUUUGACAUAUCUGGAGGUCGUCGGGCAUUUAUUGAUGCGAAAGAGGCUGAGGAGUUGUUGAAACCACUUGGGGAUCUUCACAACAAAUUUACCAAGAUCUGUUUCAGCAAUACAAGUUUUGGCUUGGACUCAGCACAUGUUGCUGAGCCUAUAUUGUCAUCUCUCAGAGACCAACUGACAGAAAUAGACCUGUCAGAUUUCAUUGCUGGAAGGCCGGAGACAGAAGCCCUCGAAGUCAUGACCAUCUUCUCGUCUGCUCUGGAAGGGAGUAAUCUCAGGUACCUCAACCUUUCAAAUAACGCUUUGGGCGAAAAAGGUGUUAGGGCAUUUGCUGGACUGCUAAAAUCGCAACAUAAUUUGGAGGAGCUCUAUCUGAUGAAUGAUGGUAUUUCAGAGGAGGCUGCACGUGCAGUCUGUGAGCUAAUUCCUUCAACUGAUAGGCUUAGGGUUCUCCAUUUUCAUAAUAACAUGACAGGAGAUGAGGGUGCCGUUGCUAUUUCUGAACUUGUGAAGCAUUCGCCUCUGCUGGAGGACUUCCGAUGUUCGUCUGCAAGGGUAGGAUCUGAAGGAGGGGUUGCCCUUGCAGAGGCUCUUGGAUCAUGUACCAGUUUAAAGAAGCUUGAUUUGCGUGACAAUAUGUUUGGCGUGGAAUCUGGAAUUGCUUUAAGCAAGGUUUUGCGAAGAUUUUCUGAUCUCACUGAAAUCUACCUUAGCUACUUAAAUUUGGAAGAUGAGGGGUCUCUAGCUCUUGCUAAUGCUCUAACGGAAUCUGUUCCAUCAUUAGAGGUUCUGGAGAUGGCUGGAAAUGAUAUUACUGCUGAAGCUGCUCCUGCUUUGGCUGCCUGUGUUGCUGCAAAGCAGUUUCUUACAAAAUUAAACUUGGCUGAGAACGAGUUGAAGGAUGAGGGUGCCAUCCUUAUUGCCAAGGCUUUGGAAGAGGGUCAUGGACAGUUAAAUGAAGUAGAUUUGAGUACAAACUCAAUCAGAAGGGCUGGAGCCCGGUGCUUAGCUCAAGCUGUUGUAAGCAAACCUGGAUUCAAGUUGCUGAACAUUAACGGUAAUUUCAUAUCUGACGAAGGGGUUGAUGAGGUGAAGGAGGUAUUUGAGAAUUCUUCUUGUGUCCUGGGACCUUUGGAUGAUAACGAUCCUGAAGGAGAAGACUAUGAUGAAGAGGCUGAAGAAGGUGAUGAUGAUGAGGGUGAAUUGGAAUCUAAGCUCAAGGGCCUCGAAAUUAAGCAGGAGGAGUAAUAUUUAGUACAAAUCAGAAACGCAUCCUUGAUCUUCUUCCUUAUCCAACUUUGUUAUAGCCAAUGUGCUUUAGUGGACUUUUGUAUCGUGUAUGUUAGUUCUCUCUUCUCUGUAUAUCUUGCUUCAUUCAUGAGUAGUCAGGGACUUGCAACUCGUAAAGUUUUUUUUUUACCGUGGCGUGCCAUUAAAUUCCACUACAUUGGAUCAAACUCAUCAAUUUUUUUUUUCCUUGAAUGACCUUGCUAUAAUUUUGGGUUUUAUUUCAAUGAAAAGUUAUUCUGGUUUUUUUGUCUUUAUUUAUCGGGGUUUAGCAUUUGGAUUCAAUUUCUCUGCAGAUGCUUGCAAGGCGGAAUAUUCAGCAACAUUUAGAUAAAUGAAUGACCAUUGCCAAGUUUUAUUUAUUUAUUCUUGUGAACGUGCUUAUUUAGUCGUUCAGGAGUCUAUUCAUCUGCUCAGAGAUCCCAUUUAUGUCGCUCGGUUAAGGUGAAUAAUUGAUUUUUUUUUUAUUUACUUAAAAUCGUGGAAUCUCUUGUCAAUCGUCAUAAGAGAGAUAAGCACAUUUCAUUAGGUGAAAUACACAAAACUAGCACCUAAAUAAUUUGUAAAAUAGUCUGGUCCUGUUUGCUUUUGGGUGGAUUCCCACUGAAUUUGCCAAAUUUAUGGCCUCUUACACGAUGUGGAAAUAUUUCUACCGAAAAUUUGCCCCGUCAAGCAAUCUGGAGGACGCUCAGAACUUAGAAAUCAAAUUACACGGCUACUGGUACUUUCAGUGA